Molecule: long non-coding RNA, 54826 nt
Filed under: Gossypium barbadense (sea-island cotton)
Lineage: Eukaryota; Viridiplantae; Streptophyta; Magnoliopsida; Malvales; Malvaceae
Description: long non-coding RNA (GBAR_LNC013528)
Source: RNAcentral
AGAUCCAAUUAAGGAAGAUAGGGAUAACCAGCCCCAUAGGUGCAACCCUCAACGUGUCCCUAGAAUGGAUGAUGAUUGUCAUGAUCAUGGACAAUCAUCUUUGGCAAAACCAAAGAGCGAGCAGCAACGAGAACAUCUCUUUCAUACUCGCUGCCACGUACAAGGUAAGCUUUGUAGAGUUAUUAUUGAUGGUGAAAGUUGCUCGAACAUAGCCAGCACGACGAUGGUGGAAAAGCUUUGCUUAACCACUACCAAGCAUCCACAACCUUAUCAACUACAAGGGCUUAGCAACGAAGGCCAAUUUAGGGUCACUCAACAAGUGCGCAUCGCAUUUUCUAUCGGUAAGUAUCAAGACGAAGUUGUGUGUGACGUAAUGCCUAUUCAAGCCUGCCAUUUGUUGCUAGGAGAACCGUGGCAACUGGAUCGAAAAGUCACUCACGAUGGUCGUACCAAUAGGUAUUCUUUCAAGCAUCAAGGAAAGAAACUCACCUUAGUGCCGCUCACUCUGGAACAAGUCCAUGAGGACCAAAUCAAACUGAAAAAUUCUGUUAAAACAAGUGAGGAAAAAGAAAAAGAGAAUGAAAAAGAGCAAAAAGAGAUUGAGAGUGAAAAAGAAAUUGAAGAAAGAAGAGAAAAUGAAUUAGAAAAAGAAACAAAAGAAAAAGACGUGGAAAGGGUAGUGAGGAAUGUUUCCACUAACCAAGAUAUGAAUUUGAUACAGCCACGCCUCAAGUCCAACCUAGCUCGAGCAAGAAGCCUUUGGAGCUACCUCAAGGUCCAAUCACCCGAUCACGAGCUAAACAAUUCAAGGAGGCUGUUUCGGCCUUAGUAGAUCAAGUUUGGGGCGAGACUUUGGUUGGACGCAUUGAUGAAGCUUGGACAAACUCGAUGAGCCUUCCUUGCACUUUGUUACGAGCUGAAUUAAGCUCCACUUCAGCUCAUUAAAUUCGAACCAGCUCAAAAUUAGCUCAAAAUAACUUAGUCAAUCAUAUAGUAGCUGAAAUAAUUAAUUGAGUUAGUUAAAUUAGUUAUUUACAAGCUUAAUUAAUUUUCGUUAUUAAAUUGGUCUUAAAUCUGGUCAAACUUAAUUAUGCAUGAUUAAUUGUGUUUUCUUAUAUGUUAUUAAGUCAAAUUAAAUUCCUACAGCUCAUAAAUAAGUCUUAAUACAUGUUUUAAUGUGUCUUGUCCAAACUAAAUUAAUUAGACUUAGUUUAAUUAAUUGAGUUUUGUUUUAAUAAUUUGGAUUAAUGUUGUCUAAAUUUCGUUUUUAAUAUGAUUCAGCUGAAUAAUGUUCAACUAAAUUCAUUUGUUCAUGUUGUGUAGGUUGGCCGAAUGUGGGUGGAAGCAUUUAAGCUAGGUGCAUGCAUCAUAGGUUCAAUGAAUGUGGCGUUACAUGCAUGAGGAAUGUUCAGCUGAUUUUAAAUGAUUCAAGAACCAGCAUAAUGCCGUUCACACAUGAAGUUCGCACUCUUGGCUUUUCGGUUUUGGAAUGUUCACACACAAAGACUCUUUGAAACCGAGUGUUCACACUUCAUUUGGCCAUUCAAAUCCCUCUUAAUGGCUGGUCACUUUUCAGCAAAAGCUACAAAUUAAAUGAGCUUAUUUAUGCACAUUGACCGAAUCUAGCUCAUCCAUGCACCAUUCAAGUUGUCCAAGGUUCAAUGUGAAUUCUAGAAGCUUUCCAAGUUCAGCCGAACCUAGCCAAGCCAUUGAAGAAUUCAUUAGCUUAGCUUUUAAGAAAAUGUAUGUGACUAUCUGGCUAACUUAGUUGCUGAUUAUAAAUAGCUGAAAUUUCAUUUUGUAAAGGACUUUUUGACAUUUUAAUUAGCGAAUUGCUGCCAAAUUUGUGAGGCAUUUUCUCUCAAAUUUCGUUCGAGACCCGUAAGACUUAUCUAAGCUUUUUAGUGGCGUCUUUCUGAGUCUUUUCCGAACUUAUCAUUCCUUAAACCCGAGUGUGGCGUUCACCUUUGAUACCUUUGGUUCAUACUUCCCUAAGUAUCGGGUCAAGGUCCUUAUCAACCAUUUCCAUCUCAAUUUGGUCCUAUAAGUUUUGGGUCGACACUUUUCUUUAGUGUUGGUUCACUCUUGACCUUUUUGAACCAUUACCAUUUCGUACCAAAUCCCUUACCAUUUCGUACCAAUUCCCAAAUACCAAAACGUACCAAAACCAAAUACCAUUUCUUAAUUAAUCCUAAACCGAACUCGACCAUUCUAGUCAUACCAUUUCGACUUAAACCAAAUCCAUAUCCAACUUUGCACGGACUUACUUUACUUCUUUGAACUCAAAUAUAUUCUAUCUUCUUCUUGUCUAAUAUACUUCUUCGUUUACGAUCGGAAACUAAACGACUCGGGUUCAACUACUAAACCGAGGUCGUAUCAAUUGGUCCCUUUGGAAGCUCGAGGGAAUCAAGACGAGGACUUGAUGGGGCUUGGGGCGUGGUCACAUCAGAAGUCAACUUCCCAUAGUUCGAAUCCUUUUGACAACAAUUUAAAAUGAUAUGCACCGGGGUCAAAAACAAAGUUUCCUCUUGCCAUUCCAAUUUGAUAUGACAAUUUCAAAAUCGGUAUCAUAAAAAGGAAACGAUGUAAUUUUAAGUAAUGAUUAUGCAAAACAUGUUCAAACCUUUUAAACCACGACAUGGAGCAAUUUUCAGAAUCACAAAUUAGAUAAUUCACAUGAUCAACACAAGCAAACAGAUUAGAUGUCAACUUUUCAUCACACAAUCCCAAAUUUUGUUUGUGUUGUUUUAAUCUGGCUUCAUCAUCAAACUUGUAAACAUCAGAAAUAUCAUGAGGAAAACUUUUCAAUCCAUCAUCCCAAUCAAAGUCAUCACCAAUCAAAAAUUGAUACUUAGACAAAUCAGGAUAGGAAAGUCUUCUACUAACUAAUUCUUCAGCAAUCUCAACAUUAUCAUGCAUAUGAAUUUGUUGAAGUUCGACUAACAUAGAACCCUUACCAUGCUUACCUUUAGGCGCUGGUGGAAUAGAGUCAUCUAUGAUUUUACCUUUCUCGACUAAUCAAAAUCGUCUCUCCUCAGAAAAGUAUUGAAGUUGAAAUUGAUCGAUGGGAUUUCGGGAAACCUGAAAAGUAGAAACAAAACAAGGAAAAUUCAUAGGAUGGUUAGUAACAACACUCCUUUCUUGUUCACUUUCAUCUUUUUCGCUUAUUUCUUUUUCCAACUCAUUUUCAAAUCCUCUUUCCUUUACCAUAUCACUCAUUUCUUUUGCACUCUCAUUUCUUCCUUCAAUCUCACUCUCUUUUUCAGUUUUCUUUUCUUUUUCACACUCGUUUUUAUUCUCAAUCUCAUUUUCAAUUUUCUUUUCUAUCUCACACUCAUCUUCUUUUUCUUUCAUUUCUUUUUCAUUUUCAUUUUCUCGCUCGCGCUCUUUUUCUUUUUCACAUGCUAUUUCAAUUCCAUUACAAAAGUAGAAAUCAUCAAAAUGAGAAUCCUUUUGUUGAGAAUAAGAAAAGGAUUCUUCAUACAAAUGACAAUCAUCUCUUUGUAAUAAAUCUUCCGUAGCCGAGUACUUUGAUACUCUUGAAACACGUUCGCCUAUUCGUAAAUAAUCAUUCGUAGAUGAAUAAAUUGAGGCACUUGUAGAGACAUGUUUACCUUUUCGUUUAUUAUCUCGAAAGGACUCAAACUCAGAGCUUGCUUCUCUUGGUCUCGAACGCAUUGUUGAAUAGAAGUCUUGAUAAGAGUCUCUUGUCGAGUAGUGUCGUCGAGAUGAUCUUAACUCCGUCUCUUGACUCGAUGAAAUUUGCUUUCAUUGGGCUCUUUUCUCUAUUCGAUCCAAUCGAUUAUGCAAUUUAUCAAAUUUUGAUUUCACCAUUCUACGCACUUCUUGCAUCAAAUAUUGGAAUUCUGACUCGAAAAAUUCUUCUUGAGACAUUUUUUUUUGCUAAAAAGAAUAAGUGCUUAAAAUAGAAAGUAAAUACCUCACCACAAAACCUCGCAAGUCACUCGGAAAGAAAAUUUUCACUCCACUCGUGUUUACGCUCGCUUUUGGCUUUUCUUCUCUCGAAUGAACUCACACCAAUCACUCUUGCCUUUUUCCACUCGAUUUUUCACCUCUCGAAGUUCUUCGCAAACUAAAUUGACGAAUCAAUACCGUUUGGCGUCGGCUUACAAAAUUGAUUUGGCUUGAUGGGUAAUGAUGUCAGAAAUGGUAGGCUAUCAAACAAACUAGAAAUGGUUAAGUGUGGCUAUAUAGAUAAGGUCCUUCGGGCAUCAAGCAAUGCUUUUACAAUCCAACUAUGACCUCUUCUUUUUUUUUAAUUUUGAAUUUUUUUUACUUUCGAAACUUCUUUUUUUUUCUUUUUUUUUUGAAUUUCUCUUUUUUUCAAUACUGAAUACAAAAGAAGACAAGAAAAAAAAUUGAAUACAAUUUUCUUUUCAAAUUUUUUUAAUUUUUUUCCUUUUUUUUACAAUACCGAAAUGCCGAUAACUUCGAUUCUUACUCCGAUUCAGCUAGCUCUGAUACCAAAUGAUACACCCCAGCUCGGGAAGGAGAGUCGAGUCGUAGAUGUGCCCGAUCGUGAAUUGGAGUAAUACUCGAGGGUGGACGAAAUAGGUUAAGAAAGAAGAGAUAAAGGCUCAAAUUUAGUUCAAAAGGGGUUAUGAAAUGUAUUAAGGAUGAUAGGUGAAUGAAAACCAAGUAUUCAAGUUGAACCAACACAAUAUAAGUGUGUUAACCCGGGACUUAUACGAAUACUUAGGAAAGGUUAAAUGUUGUAUGGAUGGAAAACGAAUAAAAUGGAACCUUGACCCACUAUCAAAGAUGAUAGGAACCUCGGUAUAACUUGAACGCCACACUUUGGGUGCAAAGUGAUAAGUUUGAAAUACAAAAACGGGUUGACGCCACAAGGGUUACUUGAUAAGUCUAACCAGUCCUUGGAGAACAAUGAGAGUUGAAAACAAACUCACAAAGUAAACAAAUUUCAUAUAAGUUUUAAAAAUAUAUUGUCUAACCCGAAAAUGAUUACAAAGCAACUAUUUAUAGCUAAUAUUGAAUGUCAAACCGAAUGGUCACAAAAGGUAGAUAAAUGGACAGUUUUAGUUCAGCUUAAUUAAGUUGAAAUUGCUUGGAAGCUUCCUUAAUCGUCCCUUGUAGUUUCUUAGGUCACUUGGCUUAGAAAUCUGAAAAGAAAUAACUUCUAGAAUGAGAGGAUUCGUGAUACGAGUCACAAAAGCCCAAAUUCUUGAAGGCGAGGCCCAAUAAGCAAAUUCCCAGCCCAAUCAAGAAAUCCAUCCAUACUUAGUUGAAAAUCAGGCCAAAUUCUCAAAGUGGCCCAAGUUGUAAAGUUUUAUUUUUAUUUUAUUUAUUUAUUUAUUUAUUUACUUAGUUUAAAUUUUUAUGUCAAUAUUCAGUCCAAGAGUCCCAGAUAAAAUGACCUUUGACCGAAUUUCCAUAUUAAAAUAAUUAGGAGUUUUUUUUAUUUUAGUUUUCUAAUUAGAUUAGGACUAGUUAUAAGGCCUAUUUAAAGGCAUGACUGUCCACCUUGUUAAACACUUAUCAUUAUUAUUAAAAUUUCAGAUUUGUUGAGAGCAGAAUUUUCUUUGAGUUUUCUCCAAGAUUUCUCUCUUGAGUUUUCUUUAGAAGUUGUUUUAACAAUCUUGUGAUUGUGGGAGCCAUCUUCAACCUUCUUCUUGCCAUUGAUAUUCUUUGGAGGGGAGAUUAGAGCCGUUUGAAGGGAUUUGUGAGAUCUUUCGAGAUUUUAAGGCUUCUUAGGACUUAUGAUAGAGGAAUGCGCGCGGACCAAGAUCGAGUCGUCAAGUCACGGGAAACUCCUAUGAAAACCCUAAACAAUUAGAUCUGAAAUGAAACAGAAAAUUAAAAGAUUAGAUUUUUGAAUUUUCAUAUCUGAAAUAAAAUCCCCAAAUCAGCAAAGAAUCAAAUUGAGAAUAGAAAUAAGUGUUAGGGUUCUUGAAACCCUCAAGGAGAUUGUGAUUCUGCCCAAUUGAACACCAAGAUAGUUUUCCCCAAAUUUUGACAAUCUAAUUUCACCCAAAAAGAGUAUGGAAAAACCCUAGAAAUUGGGGAUUUUUGGGCUGAUUCCUUAAGAUAGAAAAAGGCUGAAAACACAAUAAGAACAGAAAAUAGAUUAGAUAAUGAUUCAGCACAAGUAGAAAUAAAGAAAGAAUUGACAGUAAGAAAUUAAAAGAUAAGUCCUAAGAAGCCUUGAAAUCCCGAAAGAUCUCACAACUCCCUUCAAACGGCUCUAAUCUCUCCUCCAAAGAAUAUCAAUGGCAAGAAGAAGGUUGAAGAUGGCUCCCACAAUCACAAGAUUGUUAAAACAACUUCUAAAGAAAACACAAGAGAAAAAUCUUGAAGAAAACUCAAAGAAAAUUCUGCUCUCAACAAAUCUGAAAUUUUAAUAAUAAUGAUAAGUGUUUAACAAGGUGGAUAGCCAUGCCUUUAAAUAGGCCUUAUAACUAGUCCUAAUCUAAUUAGAAAACUAAAAUAAAAAAAAAUUCCUAAUUAUUUUAAUAUGGAAAUUCGGUCAAAGGUCAUUUUAUCUGGGACUCUUGGACUGAAUAUUGACAUAAAAAUUUAAACUAAGUAAAUAAAUAAAUAAAUAAAUAAAAAUAAAAAUUUACAACUUGGGCCACUUUGACAAUUUGGCCUGAUUUUCAACUAAGUAUAGAUGGAUUUCUUGAUUGGGCUGGGAAUUUGCUUAUUGGGCCUCGCCUUCAAGAAUUUGGGCUUUUGUGACUCGUAUCAUUCCCCCCUUCCUCAAAAAGAUUCAUCCUUGAAUCUGAAAAAUCAAAUGAACUCGACUUUCCUCUAUCGAACGGGACUAAUGGCAAUUGAGUCCACUGAAAAGAAUAGCCAUGAGAUAGUAAAUAGCAACGAAAACAAGCUUGUAGUCCAAUCAUAAGCAUAACAGAACAUGUAUAACGCAUGUGAAUGGACAGAUUUAGAUUACCAUGCAAACAAUCUUAUUUACUCACCACUGCCUCGUCAAAUAUUUGAAACAAAGAUGGACAUGUUUUAAGGCAUUCAGUCGUCUCACAUUGUUCCCACAAACCAUGAAUAAAUUGCGAGUAAUAAAUCAAAUGGUAAACAUAAUCGUCACAAGUAGGUAUUUGAAAAGAUUCACAUGGUUCACAGAGUUGCAUAAUCAUACCAUGCAUUAAUCGACGGUCUAUAGAUUCACUCACACAUGCAUUAUCAAAAACAAGAAUCUUUUUAUCAACCAUCAAAACAGAUAGAUCAUCAAUAAAUAAAAUAGGACAGUCAAGCACGUUUCGAUCUAAGUGUUCAUGAACGCGAUCUUUAUCACUAUCCGAGGAGUACAAAAGUGUUUCAAAGGUUUCAAGCAUCUUACCUCGAUAAGCAGAAGAAUAAGGGUCGAUUUUACCUUUUUCAUUUAAAACAAACCUUCGCUCAUCGGGGGCAUAGUGUAGUCGAAUCUCCGUUGUUGAGUUAACCUUUGUCAAAUGGAACUCAAACUUCAUGUACAACCACAUAAACUGUUUAAGGCACGAAUAUAAAUUGAAAACAAAUUUGGAAAAUUUCGUUACCUUAUUCUCCAAAACAGAUUUGGACAAAUUCAAGGAUUUUACACAAGGUAAAUCAAGAGAAUAACAAAUCACGCUUCUUUUCGUAAUGACUUUAUCAACCACAAUCGAAGAGUAACAAUUAAUCGGAUCAAAAUGAGGGGAUCUUUUAAGAACUAAGUUAUCAAAAGUUUUAUCAAUAAUUUUCAAAUCUGCACUGACUCGGUUUCUAAAAUUUCCUUACCUCGCUUACCUUCGGGAUCAUGUAGUGUGAUUUCAUCUUUCCUUAAGUUGAUCGUAUGAAAGCGUCUUUCAUUUGAGAGGUAUUGAAGUUGAAAGUUAUCUUUCGAUCUUUCGGGAACCUGAAAAGUAGCAACACAAGAAAAAUUCAUAUCUUGGUUAGUGGAAACAUUCCUCACUACCCUUUCCACGUCUUUUUCUUUUGUUUCUUUUUCUAAUUUUUUUUCUCUUCUUUCUUCAAUUUCUUUUUCACUCUCAAUCUCUUUUUGCUCUUUUUCAUUCUCUUUUUCUUUUUCCUCACUUGUUUUAACAGAAUUUUUCAAUUUGAUUUGGUCCUCAUGGACUUGUUCCAGAGUGAGCGGCACUAAGGUGAGUUUCUUUCCUUGAUGCUUGAAAGAAUACCUAUUGGUACGACCAUCGUGAGUGACUUUUCGAUCCAGUUGCCAUGGUUCUCCUAGCAACAAAUGGCAGGCUUGAAUAGGCAUUACGUCGCACACAACUUCGUCUUGAUACUUACCGAUAGAAAAGGCGAUGCGCACUUGUUGAGUGACCCUAAAUUGGCCUUCGUUGCUAAGCCCUUGUAGUUGAUAAGGUUGUGGAUGCUUGGUAGUGGUUAAGCAAAGCUUUUCCACCAUCGUCGUGCUGGCUACGUUCGUGCAACUUUCACCAUCAAUAAUAACUCUACAAAGCUUCCCUUGUACAUGGCAGCGAGUAUGAAGGAGAUGUUCUCGUUGCUGGUCACUCUUUGGUUUUGCCAAAGAAGGUUGCCCACGAUCAUGAAAAUCAUCAUCCAUUCUAGGGACACGUCGAGGGUCGCGCCUAUGGGGCUGGUUAUCCCUAUCCUCCUUGAUUGGAUAUCGAUAUUGAGGUUCUUGAUUCAAUCGUACCUCAUUGAUGGUAGCAGUCAACGCUCGAAGUGCAGCAGCCUGUUCGUCCAACUAUUGUUGGAAUUUUUUAAAUAUGUCACUAUUAUUAUCACCUGUAGACAUUUUUUUAAAACCUGCAAAACACUCAACACUCAAAAAUAAAAGUUAUCAAACCUCACCGUUAAUCACUCAAAAAGAAAAAAAUCAAAUUCUCAAUGAGGUCGAAUUCAAUCUUGUGAGUUCUUUAUCAGAGUUUAUAUCAACCAAUUAGAGAGUGUGAACCAAACUACCAAAGAAUCCUAAUUUGCACUAGGAUGCCAAAAACUGACGAGACACCAAGUGACUCGUGUUGCACCGAGGAAGGAGUUGUGCACACGUGUAAAUCCUACUAACACAAGAAACAAGAAGGUGUUAGAUAAUGUAACAGAAGAAGAAAAAGAAAACAAAUGAAAACCUACAGCUAAGAAUCAAUAAAAAUUGCUAAAACCAGAAAACCUGAAAAACUGCGGAGUAACUUGACAACUUCGUUAGAGGUGUUCCCGAUCUCCAAAAAUCACGAAAUUAAAUCUGGAGUGUCCUUAUAUAUUGAAUUUUUGAUCUGGAAAUUUUGGGCACCAAAUUCAUCCCGCUGAAUCUUUUUUAAAUUUUUAUUGAAUUUCGUCUUUUUUUCGAUUUUUUUGACUUUUUGACUGAUUUUUUUGCGGGAAUAAUUUUUUUAUAUUCAAUCACAGUUCCAAACACAUGUAUGUAAAAUUUCAGAUCAAUCGGACAACGUUUACCCACUCAAAUGAAUUUUUUUGAACAAUUUUUCUGGGUAAAACUGCUGUUUAUGCUUUAAAAAAUAAAGAUCAGUUUAGAAAUCAACCAAGAACACCCAAAACACCCAAAAUCUGAUACCAAAUGAUAGAGGAAUGUGCGCGGACCAAGAUCGAGUCGUCAAGUCACGGGAAACUCCUAUGAAAACCCUAAACAAUUAGAUCUGAAACGAAAUAGAAAAUUAAAAGAUUAGAUUUUUGAAUUUUCAGAUCUGAAAUAAAAUCCCCAAAUCAGCAAAGAAUCAAAUUGAGAAUAGAAAUAAGUGUUAGGGUUCUUGAAACCCUCAAGGAGAUUGUGAUUCUGCCCAAUUGAACACCAAGAUAGUUUUCCCCAAAUUUCGACAAUCUAAUUUCACCCAAAAAGAGUAUGGAAAAACCCUAGAAAUUGGGGAUUUUUGGGCUGAUUCCUUAAGAUAGAAAAAGGCUGAAAACACAAUAAGAACAGAAAAUAGAUUAGAUAAUGAUUCAGCACAAGUAGAAAUAAAGAAAGAAUUGACAGUAAGAAAUUAAAAGAUAAGUCCUAAGAAGCCUUGAAAUCCCGAAAGAUCUCACAACUCCCUUCAAACGGCUCUAAUCUCCCCUCCAAAGAAUAUCAAUGGCAAGAAGAAGGUUGAAGAUGGCUCCCACAAUCACAAGAUUGUUAAAACAACUUCUAAAGAAAACUCAAGAGAAAAAUCUUGAAGAAAACUCAAAGAAAAUUCUGCUCUCAAUAAAUCUGAAAUUUUAAUAAUAAUGAUAAGUGUUUAACAAGGUCGACAGCUAUGCCUUUAAAUAGGCCUUAUAACUAGUCCUAAUCUAAUUAGAAAACUAAAAUAAAAAAUUCCUAAUUAUUUUAAUAUGGAAAUUCGGUCAAAGGUCAUUUUAUCUGGGACUCUUGGACUGAAUAUUGACAUAAAAAUUUAAACUAAGUAAAUAAAUAAAUAAAUAAAUAAAUAAAAAUAAAACUUUACAACUUGGGCCACUUUGACAAUUUGGCCUGAUUUUCAACUAAGUAUGGAUGGAUUUCUUGAUUGGGCUGGGAAUUUGCUUAUUGGGCCUCGCCUUCAAGAAUUUGGGCUUUUGUGACUCGUAUCAACUUAUCUUUUAAUUUCUUAUUGUCAAUUCUUUCUUUAUUUCUGCUUGUGCCGAAUCUUUAUCUAAUUUAUUUUCUGUUCUUAUUGUGUUUUCAGCCUUUUUCUAUCUUAAGGAAUUAGCCCAAAAAUCCCCAAUUUCUAGGGUUCUUGCCGAUUCAUCCAUACUCUUUUUUGGGAGAAAUUAGAUUGCCGAAAUUUGGGGAAAACUAUCUGGGUGUUCAAUUGGGCAGAAUCGCAAUCUCUUCUAGGGUUUCAAGAUUCCUUAUUAACACUUAUUUCUAUUCUCUAUUUGAUUCUUUACUGUUUUGGGGAUUUUAUUUCAGAUCUGAAAAUUCAAAAAUCUAAUCUUUUAAUUUUCUGUUUCGUUUCAGAUCUAAUUGUUUAGGGUUUUCGUAGGAGUUUCUCGUGACUUGGCAACUCGAUCUUGGUCCGAGCGCAACCCCGUAUCAAUUCGGCUAGACAUUGAUGGAGAACUUUAUGGACUAGUCCCGAUUCGGCCUUGAUACUUUAAAAUGGCUUUAAAAGCUUCUUUGGGUAGUGUAAAGUUCGGCCUUGAAGAGAGGAAACGCCAAGCAUGAUGUUGGCCGAAUGGCUACUUGGAAAAACCAACCAACAGCCCUUUGUUGUUCACGAAAAUAGCACCUGCUUCAGUAGCUCAUUAAUGGACGAAUCUUGCAUGCCCAACAGCACCUUAAAUGCAUGUCUAUGCUUUACAUUAAAUUUGGCCAACACCUCCUUUAUUGCUGCUCAUUUAAUUCAUGUCUUUGCUUCCCUUUAAAUGCCGUUCCUUGCAUGUAGAACAGCAACUUAAAUGCAUGUCUCCUUUGCCAUUAAGUAGUUGUUUCCAGCUGAAUUAAUUACCUGCAGACACAAAAUAAAUUCGGUCAAGACAUAAAUUAAACCUCAUUAAAUUCGGCAGCCUCCUUUAAUACAUAAUUAACUCAUGCAUGAAACAAACAAGUUAAUUAACAUAUUAAUUUUGGCUGGACAAUAAAAACAACAAUAAAUUCGUCACUUUUAAAGAACUUAAGACACAUUUAAUACUACUCUUUAAUUCGGCUGAAACUAAUAAAAAAACAUUAAUAAAUUCAGCAUAUUAAAUAGAUGUAAUAAAUAAAACACAAUCAAUUAAACUAAAAAAAUUAUUAAAGAUGUUCAGAUUUAAACAUAUUAAUUUACUAACACUUAUUUGAGCUGAAUUAAAUAAAUAAACUAACUUAUUCAAUUUAUUUCAGCAAAUGAAAUCAAAAGAAUUAAAAUAAACUCAAAUUGAGCAAAACGAUCCCAUUGAGCUGGAAACGAGCUAAACAAAGCUCAGUGAGAUGCAAUUGAGCUAAUUUAGCUCGCAUGGGUGUGCAAGAAAUACUUAUGGAGCUGAUCGAAAAAUGUGCCCGGGCCGUGGUCGUAUCAAUAGGCCUCCAACAAAUCCUAAUCUCACAAGUAACUAAUAAAAAAUUAAACCUAAUUAAUAAAACAACAAGGUAAAUUCGGCCAUGCACUUAUAUGGGCUGUUUUGGGCCGAAUUUUUCAUGUAAUGCUCCUAAAGAUUAAAAAAUUAAAUUAAACAAGUAAGAUGUUUACAAAUUGGGCCCUUUGACAUUUUGGCCUGAUUUUCAACUAAGUAUGAAGAAAUUUCUUGAUUGGGCUGGAUUUUGGUUAUUGGGCCUCGCCUUCAAGAAUUUGGGCUCGUGAUCCAUCUCCUACCAAAAUUGGGUCGUUGACGCUCGUAAUGGAGAUCCAAUGCGUUUUGGCUGCAAGAUUUGGUUUCUUGGACCAAGAUUUCCAAGAUUUGAAAUCUUGAUUUUCUUGAUUCUUGAAAUCUCUUCGAACAGCAAAAUUGGGCCAAGAUUCGAUUUCUUGAUUUUCUUGAAAACAAGAAAGUGAAUCUUGAUUUUCUUGUUCUCUCGUGUAUGAAUCUAAGGCCUUACUAACAAGCUCUUGAAUGGUCCCAUUUAGUUUGGACCGCAUUUGUCGGGCCUUUGAUCUCGUUAUUGGGCCUUGUGCCAAUUUGAGCCCAUCACGUUCUUGAACUUGGAUUGGGCCUUUAUGACUCGUAUCAUUCCCCCUUCCUCAAAAAGAUUCGUCCUCGAAUCUAAAAAAUCAAAUGGGGACAAGUCAGCCACAUUAAAAGUAGAACUUACAUUGUACUCACCAGGUAGAUCAAUUUUAUAGGCAUUAUCGUUGAUCUGCUCGAGUACUUGGAAAGGCCCAUCGCCCCUUGGGUCCAACUUAGUCUUUCUUUUUGUAGGAAAUCGUUCUUUCCUCAAAUGGACCCAAACCCAAUCUCCGGGUUCUAGUACAACCCGUUUGCGCCCUUUGUUUGCUUUGUUGGUGUUGGCGUCAUUUGUUUUGGCUAUUCGCUGUCUAGCCUUCUCAUGUUGUAAGGAUUUCACCAACUCAGCUUUCUGUUCGCCAUCUAAAUUCAUAACGCGUUCAAGAGGUAAUGGCGCAAGAUCAAGUACUGUUGGUGGGUUAAAACCAUAAACAAGUUCAAAUGGGGAAUAACCAGUUGUAGAAUGAAUAGAUCUAUUAUAUGCAAAUUCAACAAAUGGUAGGCAUUCUUCCCAAUUUCUAAUGUUCUUUCCCACAACAGCUCGUAAUAAAGUCCCUAAGAUUCGAUUAACUACUUCAGUUUGACCAUCAGUUUGAGGGUGACAUGUAGUAGAAUAAAGCAAUUUAGUACCAAGCUUACCCCACAAUACCUUCCAAAAGUGGCUAAGGAAUUUGACAUCUCUAUCAGAAACAAUUGUUUCAGGGAUGCCAUGAAGUCUUACCACUUCUUUAAAGAAUAAGUCUGCCACAUGUGUAGUAUCAUCUGUUUUGUGACAAGGAAUAAAAUGUGACAUCUUUGAAAACCUGUCAACAACAACAAAUAUACUAUCUCUUCCUUUUUUUGUUCGAGGCAAACCUAAAAUAAAAUCCAUGGAUAAAUAUACCCAAGGUGAAGUAGGAAUCGGUAGAGGAGUGUAAAGGCCAUGAGGCAUUACCUUAGAUUUUGCUUGUUUGCAUGUAAUGCACUUGGAACAUACCUUUUCCACAUCCUUCUUCAUAUGUGGCCAAUGGAAGUGUUCUUGCAAUAUGUCUAGUGUUUUGGCCACUCCAAAAUGUCCCAUUAAUCCCCCACUAUGGGCUUCAUGAAUAAAAAAUUCUCUCAUGGAACACUUUGGUAUGCAUAACCUGUUUAAACGAAAAAGAAAGCCAUCUUCAAGAUAAAAUUUUUCAAAAGCAGUAUGUCCACAAUUCUUAUAGAUAUGGCUGAAAUCAGUAUCAUCAUCAUAUAACUCUUUAAUAUGUUCAAACCCUAAGACUUUAGCAUUCAAUGUAGUUAUUAAAGUAUAUCGUCUAGACAAAGCAUCUGCGACUACAUUAUCUUUACCUGUUUUAUAUUGAAUCACAUAAGGGAAUGUUUCAAUGAAUUCUACCCAUCGGGCAUGUCUUUUACUCAACUUACCUUGUCCCUUUAACCAUUUAAGAGACUCAUGAUCUGUAUGUAUGAUAAACUCAUUAGGCAGCAAAUAAUGUUGCCAUACUUGAAGUGCACGAACUAAUGCCAAUAGUUCUUUGUCAUAAGUCGAGUAAUUUAACUGUGCACCGUUCAAUUUCUCACUAAAAUAAGCAAUAGGUUGCUUAUCUUGCAUUAAAACGGCACCGAUUCCAAUUCCUGAAGCAUCACACUCAAGUUCAAAAGUUUUAGCAAAAUCAGGUAAUUUAAGCAAAGGAGCAGAACAUAACUUAGCUUUUAGAGUUUGAAAAGCUUUUUCUUGGGUUUCACCCCAUUUGAAACCCACUGAUUUCUUUAUAACUUCAGUCAAUGGGGCAGUAAUAGUAGAGAAAUAUUUCACAAAUCGUCUAUAAAAACUGGCUAAACCAUGGAAAGAUCUCACCUCAGUUACCGAUUUAGGAGUCGGCCACUCCUUAAUUGCCUUAACUUUGUCCUCGUCGACAUGAAUACCUUGAGUACUAACUAUGAAACCUAAGAAUAUUAGUUUAUCACAACAGAAUGUGCAUUUAUCAAGGUUGGCAAAUAAUCUUUCAGUUCGUAGAAUAUCCAAAAUGGUUCGAACAUGGAAAACAUGAUCAUCUAAUGACUUUGAGUAAAUUAAAAUAUCAUCAAAGUAAACUACUACAAAUUUACCCAAAUGUAGCCCCAAAACAUGAUUCAUUAAUCUCAUAAAUGUACUAGGUGCAUUAGUAAGGCCGAAAGGCAUAACUAACCAUUCAUACAAUCCAAAUUUUGUUUUAAAGGCUGUUUUCCAUUCAUCCCCUUCCCUCAUUCGAAUUUGAUGAUAAUCGCUUUUUAAAUCAAUUUUUGUAAAUAUUAUUGAACCAUGUAAUUCAUCAAGCAUAUCAUCAAGUCUAGGGAUUGGGUGUCGAUACUUUACCAUUAUCUUGUUGAUUGGGCGACAAUCAACACACAUACGAAACGUACCAUCUUUCUUUGGCACCAAUAAGACAGGAACAGCACAAGGACUUAGGCUCUCACGAAUGUACCCUUUGUCUAGUAAUUCCUCCACUUGCCUUUGCAAUUCCUUUGUCUCAUCGGGAUUGCAUCUAUAGGCUGGUCGAUUUGGGAUUGAAGCUCCGGGUACUAAGUCAAUUUGAUGUUCUAUCCCUCGUAAAGGUGGUAAACCUUUAGGGGCCUCACUAAAAACAUCCUCAUAAUCCUGCAAAAGAGAUUGAAACACACUAGGCAAAUUUUCGUUAAUGUUAGAUAAAGAUAAAUAAUUUUGCCUAAACCUCACAAGGAUACAAGGCUGUUUAUUAAGUAGGGCUCUCUUCACAUCUUUUUUUGUUGCCAAAAGAUUUUUUCCGCUCAUUUUACCACUAGAGGAUUCACUCACCUUUGGGCUUUUUAAAUUUUGACUUUUUCCACUACUAUUAGCCUCUUUUCUCUCUGUCUUUUGUACUUGCUCUUUCUCCCUUACCCCCUCACAAAAUUUUAUCAUCCUUAAUUGAUCUUUAUAUACAUCAGUAGGAUUUAAAGGAGCAAAAGUGAAUUUCUUGCCUUUAAAUACAAGGGAGUAUCGAUUAAGUUUACCUUGGUGUGUAACAUCGCGAUCAAAUUGCCAAGGUCGUCCAAGGAGCAAGUGUGCCGCAUGCAUGGGGACUACAUCACACCAUACGUCAUCCUCAUAAUUGCCGAGUUUAAAAGUGACCAAGGACUGUUUCGUAACUUUAACUUCGGAACAUUCAUUAAGCCACUGAAGGUGAUAUGGCUUUAAAGAAUCCACCAAAUAACUACUCACUACAUUCGAGCAACUCCCACUAUCAAUAAUGAGUGAACAUAAGUUACCUUUAAUAAAACACCAAGAAUGGAAAAUAUUGGUCCUUUGGCUCUCAUCAUCUUUCAUCUGAAUGUUAAGGGUUCGGCGAACUACAAAGCAAUGGAAAUUAGCAAAGUCCCCUUCUUUUGGUGGUUCGACCAACUCUUCGCCAUUAUCACUGUCAUCCACAAGUUCUGGCAUAUCUGGAUCUGUUUUAUCAGAGUCGGAAGUGUACUCACCAUUAUCUUUCAGAAGAAGUAAUCUCGUGUUAGGGCAUUCCCUACUAUAAUGACCACGCCCUUUGCACUUAAAGCACUCAAUCUCACGAGUCCUCUUCGCACUCGAAUCUCCUAAAUUGGGCUGCUUAGAAGGUGUUUGCGUUUUAACAGGAGCCCCUUUUUUCCAAUCUAAUUGCUUGCUUCCAUUACUCAAAGAAGGCUUGUUAGUAACGAAAGGUGAUUUUGAGCUCUUAAAAUCAGAAUUGGAAUUGUUACCUCGGUAAUAUUGCGAAGUCGAGAAGGAACCAAACCUUUGUUCCUUUAGUUGUUGCUCGAUCUCAAUGGCUUUAUGAACUGCUUCUUCCAAAUCAAUGUAAGUUUGUAGCCUCAAUGUAUUAGCUAUCGGCCUGUUCAAACCAUCAAUAAAUCGAACCAUAGUUGUUUCUUCAUCCUCCUCCACAUUAGCUCUCUGAAUGAGCAUCUCCAUCUCUUUAAAAUAUUCAUCCACUGUCCUACUACCUUGGAUAAGUCUUCUCAGCUUUGUUUUAAUUUCUCUAUAGUAGUGAGGUGGAAUAAACCUUUUACGCAUAAUCUGUUUCAACUCAUCCCAUGUCAAAAUCUCACCUUCAUAAUUCCGAUGGCGGUUUACCCCAAGUUGAGUCCACCAACUUAAUGCAUAAUCAGAAAAUUCCAGUGUUGCUAACGCUACCUUUUCAUCAUCCGGACAUUUAUAAUACCGAAACAUAAGUUCAAUCUUAGAUUCCCAUUCACAAUAAGCGUCAGGAUCAUUCUUACCACGAAAUUGGGGAAUUGUGAAUUUCGGUUUUGCCAAAGAAGGUUGCCCACGAUCAUGAAAAUCAUCAUCCAUUCUAGUGACACGUCGAGGGCCGCGCCUCUGGGGUUGGUUAUCCCUAUCUUCUUUGAUUCGAUCUCAAUAUUGACGUUCUUGAUUCAAUUGCACCUCAUUGAUGGUAGCAGUCAAAGCUCGAAGAGCAGCAGCCUGUUCAUCCAACUGUUGUUGGAAUUUUUUAAAUAUGUCACUAUUAUUAUCACCUGUAGACAUUUUUUUUAAAACCUGCAAAACACUCAACACUCAAAAAUAAAAGUUAUCAAACCUCACCGUUAAUCACUCAAAAAGAAAAAAAUCAAAUUCUCAAUGAGGUCGAAUUCAAUCUUAUGAGUUCUUUAUCAGAGUUUAUAUCAACCAAUUAGAGAGUGUGAACCAAACUACCAAAGAAUCCUAAUUUGCACUAGGAUGCCAAAAACUGACGAGACACCAAUUGAUUCGUGUUGCACCGAGGAAGAAGUUGUGCACACGUUUAAAUCCUACUAACACAAGAAACAAGAAGGUGUUAGAUAACGUAAAGGAAGAAUAAAGGUAAACAAAUGAAAACCUACAGCUAAGAAUCAAUAAAAAUUGCUGAAAACAGAAAACCCGAAAAACUGCGGAGUAACUUGACAACUUCGUUCGAGGUGUUCCCGAUCUCCAAAAAUCACGAAAUUAAAUCUGGAGUGUCCUUAUAUAUUGAAUUUUUGAUCUGGAAAUUUUCGGCACCAAAUUAAACCCGCUGAAUCUUUUUUUAAAUUUUUAUUGAAUUUCGUAUUUUUUGAUUUUUUUGACUGAUUUUUUUGGGGGAAUAAUUUUUUUAUAUUCAAUCACAGUGCCGAAAAUAUGUAUGUAAAAUUUCAGAUCAAUCGGACAACGUUUACCCACUCAAAUGAAUUUUUUUUGAACAAUUUUUCUGGGUAAAACUGCUGUUUAUGCUUUAAAAAAUAGAGAUCAGUUUAGAAAUCAACCAAGAACACCCAAAACGCCCAAAAUCUGAUACCAAAUGGUACGGACGCACGCGGACCAAAUGAUAAAGGGUUGCGCGCGGACCAAGAUCGAGUUGCCAAGUCACGAGAAACUCCUACGAAAGAUCCUAGACGAACAGAUCUGAAAACAAAAACAAAGAUUAAGAUUAAACCGAAUCAGAUUUGAAUCUAAAAUUCCCAAAUUCAAUUAAAAGAGCAGCAAGAAGAAAAGAAAUAGAAUCGAUGAAUCAAACGAAAUUGAGAAGAAAGAAAAGAUGCGAAUCAGUCAACAAAUUGAUUCGGCCAAGAAUGCCCAAUUUCCAGCAAUCAAUUGAUUCCCAAAUUGAAAGAAAUCCAAUCGGCCAAACCCUAGGAAUUGGGGAUUUUUGGGUUCGAAUGGGUGCUGCCUAUUAGGAGAACAACUUAAACGAUGAGAUCUUGAGUUUAAUCAAUGCUGGAAAACAAAUAAGAACAGAAAAAUAUUAGAUGAGAAAUCGGCACAAGUAUAAGCAAAGAAAAGUAAAGAAAGAAAUCGAAAACAGCAAGAAUUAAAGGAUAAGUCCUAAAGAUCCUUGAAAUCCCGAAAGAUUUCACAAAUCUCUUCAAACGGCUCUAAUCUCCCCUCCAAAGAAUAUCAAUGGCAAGAAGAAGGUUGAAGAUGGCUCCCACAAUCAAAAGAUUGUUAAAACAACUUCUAAAGAAAGCUCAAGAGAGAAUUCUUGGAGAAAACCCCAAAGAGAAUUCUACACUCUAACAAACUGAAAUGUAAUGUAUUGAAUGAUAAUAAGAUGUUUUUACAAAGGGUGGCUGGCCUAUGCUUAUAUAGGCCUCCAACAAAUCCUAAUCUCACAAGUAACUAAUAAAAAAUUAAACCUAAUUAAUAAAAUAACAAGGUAAAUUCGGCCAUGCACUUAUAUGGGCUGUUUUGGGCCGAAUUUUACAUGUAAUGCUCCUAAAGAUUAAAACCAAAGAGCGAGCAGCAACGAGAACAUCUCUUUCAUACUCGCUGCCAUGUACAAGGUAAGCUUUGUAGAGUUAUUAUUGAUGGUGAAAGUUGCUCGAACGUAGCCAGCACGACGAUGGUGGAAAAGCUUUGCUUAACCACUACCAAGCAUCCACGACCUUAUCAACUACAAGGGCUUAGCAACGAAAGCCAAUUUAAGGUCACUCAACAAGUGCGCAUCGCCUUUUCUAUCAGUAAAUAUCAAGACGAAGUCGUGUGUGACAUAGUACCUAUUCAAGCCUGCCAUUUAUUGCUAGGAGAACCAUGGCAACUGGAUCGAAAAGUCACUCACGAUGGUCGUACCAAUAGGUAUUCUUUCAAGCAUCAAGGAAAGAAAAUCACCUUAGUGCCGCUCACUCCGGAACAAGUCCAUGAGGACCAAAUCAAACUGAAAAAUUCUGUUGUUAAAACAAGUGAGGAAAAAGAAAAAGAGAAUGAAAAAGAGCAAAAAGAGAUUGAGAGUGAAAAGGAAUGUGAAACAAAAAAGAAAAUUGAAAAAGAAGUUGAAGAAAGAAGAGAAAAUGAGUUAGAAAAAGAAACAAAAGAAAAAGACGAGGAAAGGCUAGUGAGGAAUGUUUCCACUAACCAAGAUAUAAAUUUUUCUUGUGUUGCUACUUUUCAGGUUCCCGAAAGAUCGAAAGAUAACUUUCAACUUCAAUACCUCUCAAAUGAAAGACGCUUUCAUACGAUCAACUUAAGCAAAGAUGAAAUCACACUACAUGAUCCCGAAGGUAAGCGAGGUAAGGAAAUUUUAGAAACCGAGUCCAGUGCAGAUUUGAAAAUUAUUGAUAGAACUUUUGGUGACUUAGUUCUUAAAAGAUCCCCUCAUUUUGAUCCGAUUAAUUGUUACUCUUCGAUUGUGGUUGAUAAAGUCCUUACGAAAAGAAGCGUGAUUUGUUAUUCUCUUGAUUUACCUUGUGUAAAAUCCUCAAAUUUGUCCAAAUCUGUUUUGGAGAAUAAGGUAACGAAAUUUUCCAAAUUUGUUUUCAAUUUAUAUUCGUGCCUUAAACAGUUUAUGUGGUUGUACAUGAAGUUUGAGUUCCAUUUGACAAACGUUAACUCAACAACGAAGAUUCCACUACACUAUGCCCCCGAUGAGCGAAGGUUUGUUUUAAAUGAAAAAGGUAAAAUCGACCCUUAUUCUUCUGCUUAUCGAGGUAAGAUGCUUGAAACCUUUGAAACACUUUUGUACUCCUCGGAUAGUGAUAAAGAUCGUGUUGAUGAACACUUAGAUCGAAACGUGCUUGACUGUCCUAUUUUAUUUAUUGAUGAUCUAUCUAUUUUGAUGGUUGAUAAAAAGAUUCUUGUUUUUUAUAAUGCAUGUGUGAGUGAAUCUAUAUACCGUCGAUUAAUGCAUGGUAUGAUUAUGCAACUCUGUGAACCAUGUGAAUCUUUUCAAAUACCUACUUGUGACGAUUAUGUUUACCAUUUGAUUUAUUACUCGCAAUUUAUUCAUGGUUUGUGGGAACAAUGUGAGACGACUGAAUGCCUUAAAACAUGUCCAUCUUUGUUUCAAAUAUUUGACGAGGCAGUGGUGAGUAAAUUAGAUUGUUUGCAUGGUAAUCUGAAUCUGUCCAUUCACAUGCGUUAUACCUGUUCUGUUAUGCUUAUGAUUGGACUACAAGCUUGUUUCCGUUGCUAUUUACUAUCUCAUGGCUAUUCUUUUCAGUGGACUCAAUUGCCAUUAGUCCCGUUCGAUAGAGGAAAGUCGAGUUCAUUUGAUUUUUCAGAUUCGAGGACGAAUCUUUUUGAGGAAGGGGGAAUGAUACGAGUCACAAAAGCCCAAAUUCUUGAAGGCGAGGCCCAAUAAGCAAAUUCCCAGCCCAAUCAAGAAAUCCAUCCAUACUUAGUUGAAAAUCAGGCCAAAUUGUCAAAGUGGCCCAAGUUGUAAAGUUUUAUUUUUAUUUAUUUAUUUAUUUAUUUACUUAGUUUAAAUUUUUAUGUCAAUAUUCAGUCCAAGAGUCCCAGAUAAAAUGACCUUUGACCGAAUUUCCAUAUUAAAAUAAUUAGGAGUUUUUUUUAUUUUAGUUUUCUAAUUAGAUUAGGACUAGUUAUAAUGCCUAUUUAAAGGCAUGGCUGUCCACCUUGUUAAACACUUAUCAUUAUUAUUAAAAUUUCAGAUUUGUUGAGAGCAGAAUUUUCUUUGAGUUUUCUCCAAGAUUUCUCUCUUGAGUUUUCUUUAGAAGUUGUUUUAACAAUCUUGUGAUUGUGGGAGCCAUCUUCAACCUUCUUCUUGCCAUUGAUAUUCUUUGGAGGGGAGAUUAGAGCCGUUUGAAGGGAGUUGUGAGAUCUUUCGAGAUUUCAAGGCUUCUUAGGACUUAUCUUUUAAUUUCUUACUGUCAAUUCUUUCUUUAUUUCUACUUGUGUUGAAUCAUUAUCUAAUCUAUUUUCUGUUCUUAUUGUGUUUUCAGCCUUUUUCUAUCUUAAGGAAUCAGCCCAAAAAUCCCCAAUUUCUAGGGUUUUUCCAUACUCUUUUUGGGUGAAAUUAGAUUGUCGAAAUUUGGGGAAAACUAUCUUGGUGUUCAAUUGGGCAGAAUCACAAUCUCCUUGAGGGUUUCAAGAACCCUAACACUUAUUUCUAUUCUCAAUUUGAUUCUUUGCUGAUUUGGGGAUUUUAUUUCAGAUCUGGAAAUUCAAAGUUCUAAUCUUUUAAUUUUUCUGUUUCGUUUCAGAUCUGAUUGUUUAGGGUUUUCGUAGGAGUUUCUCGUGACUUGGCAACUCGAUCUUGGUCCGCGCGCAACCCCGUAUCAGGAAAGUUGUAACAGCCCGAUUUAGACCUAGUCAGAAUAGUGGUUUUGAAACCACAAAUCUGAGUCAAAAAAGUAUUUUUAAUAUUAUUUUAUGUGUUUAUAAUAUGUGAAUUAAUAUCUGUGAAAAUUCUGGGAUUUAAUUUUAUCGUUUGUGUGUUGAAUUAUAAGAAAGGACUAAAUCGUAGAAAGUGCGAAAUUUUCUUCUAUUUGAAUAAUGGCUGAAUUGAUGUGUCUUUAUAAUUUUGAAUGGUUAAUAAACCAUUGGUUGUGCUAAUAGACAAUAAUGACCUUAUAUUAUGUGUUUUAUAAUGGUUUUCAUUAAGGUUAAAUUUGUAAAAUGAUUAUAAAGAUAAUAUAGUUUAAAAAAAGUCAAAUUUUAGUUCAUAUUGUUUCUUCUUAAUCGAAACUACAAAAGAAAAAGAAAGAAAAGACCAAGCUAGGGUUCAGCCAUGUCCAUGCUUGAUUUAAAGUCCGUUUUUAUUCUGUUUUAAAUGAUUUUUAUGUUUUUGUGAUCGUUGUUAUGUGUUUUAGCUAGACCAUGCUUAAAUUCAUGAAAUUGUUGAUGAUUUGAUGAGAUGCCAUUGAUGAAUUCAUGAGCUUUGUAAUGUUAGUUGAUGAAAUAUGGAAGCUUGAUGAUAGGUAAAUAUGUUUUGUAUUGGGAAUUUUGAUGAAUUUGAUUAUUAUGGGCUAAAUUGUGAAAUUUAUAAAUUAAGGGACUAAAAUGUGAAAUAAAUGAAAUAUAUGUGCUUAUAUGAACUACAUGAAUAUUCGGAUAAGUAUGUGUAUAAGGAAAAUUUGUGUUUUUUGUGAUUUUGUUAAUUAGGGACUAAAAUAUCAAAAUAUGAAAAUGUGAGGUCUAAUUUGUAAAUUGCCCUAGUUAUAUGUUUUUGGAUUGAAUUGAAUGAAUUAUUGAAUAAAAGAGUUAAAUUUGAAUGUGUAUAGAUCAAGAACCAAAGAAAACAAAAUUAAAUCGGGGAAAGUCGAAAGUAGUUGAAUUGCCGUUCGUUUCUAUUCAUUCUCGUAUGAGGUAAGUCAAUAUACAAAUAAAUGUAUUUUGAAUUGAAUUAUUAUUGCUUAUAUUCUAUUAAAUAGUGAUGAAUCUAUUUGAGUUGAAUAUGAGAAAUCCAAGAAAGUUUCGAUAAUGUGACGAUGUUUGAAAAGUUCCGUACGAACCAUAGGAAUAGUUAGGAUACAUAUGUCAUGACAUAGGAUACCGAUAUGUGAUUUCAUGUAAGACCACAUCUGGGAUGUUGGCAUCGAUUUGAGAAUUACGUAUAAGACUAUAUCUUGGAUAUCGACAUCAUAUUUGAUUUCGUGUAAGACCCUAUCUGGGACAGUGGCAUCGAUAUUUGAUUACAUGUAAGACCACGUCUGGGACAUUAGCAUUGUACGAGCUUUCCAAACUAUCCACGUAUCCUAUUUGAUUCCGUAUGGUUCAACGGGCACUCCAAGAAAUAAAUGACUAUAUAAAUGUGUAUCCAAUGUAGGUACAUUUGAAAUGUAUAUCUUGUUUGAGAAUGAAAGGUAAGUAUAUGUACAAUUGUGGACAUAUGAUAUAUACAUGAAUUAUCAUGAAAAUGAGAUGUGUUAUAUGUAAGUGAAUUAUGAUCAAAUAGGCUAUAUGAGACAUGUGGAUAUGUGAUUGUGUUUUGCCAUGAGCUACAUGAAUGAAUUGGUUUAAAAAUGUGUUAUGUGAUAAGUUUAUUACAAUGGCUUACUAAGCUUUUGAAAGCUUAUUUUGUGUGUGUUUACAAUUGUUUUGUAGAUAUCGAAGCUACCGGGAGCUCGGGGAUCGUUGAGGAUCAUGAUCACACUAUUGAACUCUAUUUUGGUACUUUUUGAAAAUGUGAAUAUUGAAGUAUGGCAUGUAUAAGCUAGAAGUUUGAAUAUGAUUUGUGAAAUGUAUAUCAUGCUAUGCGAUAUGGCUAGAUUAAAGUUUCCAUUUGGUGUAGUUGUUUUUUUUUUUUGGUAUAUAAGUUUUGUUAAGAAAUGGUAUAUGUUGAUGUGCAUAAAUUGCCUAGUGAGAAAUGGUCAAUUUGGUAAGUUAAUUAUGUGAAUUAGUUAUGAAAAUGGUAUGAUUUUUAUAUAAGAAUGGAUGUGAAAAAUUGGGAUAAUGACAUGUAUGAAUGAAUGAGUUUGGUAUGUUUUGGUUUGGAUAAUAAGGAUGAAAUUGAUUGGUGACAUUGUGGAUUGAAUUAUGCAUGUUUGAGUAUGGUUUUGGUUGCUAUUUGGUCAUGAAUUGUGCUUUGAUUUUGGAUUUGUAGGGAUGACCAUUAAAUGUGGCAAAUUAGCUUUGCAAAUAGCCUAUUUUUGUCCACACCGGUAGAGACACUGGCGUGUGUCUCAGUCGUGUGCGACACACGGUCAUGUUACACGGCCAUGUGUCCCCUGGGGUACCUUUUCGAAUUAGGGUAGUAUACCCUAUAAUUUUGACAUACUCUAGACACACGGGCAUGUUUACUAGCUAUGGGAGUGGCACACGGGCGUGUGGUCAGCCGUGUGGCCAAGUCAGUAACCUCCCUAAUUUUUACAUGGCCUGGCACACAGGCGUGUCUUGUGGCCAUGUGGACAAGUCAGUAUGUAUGCCUUGUUUUGCCACGACCUAGACACACGGACGUGUCUAAUGCCAUGCAAGGCACAAGGGCAUGUGACCUCUGUAACUUUGAAAAUUUGUUAUGUUUUUGAGAAAUUUUGUAUGUGCUCGGUUUAGUUCUUACCCCUUUAUAAAGCAUGUUUAAGGUCUCGUUGACCUAAGAAAGGGAAUUUGAAUUUAUGUUUGACUAUGAUGCUAUGAUGUGUGGAUGUUAUCUGUGAAUUGAUUAUUAAAUGUUCCAAUAUGUUCUGUAAUGCUUCAUAACCCUAAUCCGACAAAAGAUACGGGUUAGGGGUGUUACAUUUUAUUUGGUAUUAGAGCUACGGUUUAGUCAAUUCUAGGACUAAAGUAGCGUAUGUGGGUUUAGCUACACAUGCCAUAUUUAUAAAUUGUGAUAGUAUGAUGCAUCCUGAUAGUUAAAAAUGUGUUUUUAUAUAGUAAAUGGAUCCCAAUCGAGUCGUAGCUGACGAUGAUGAAAGUAUUGCACCCGCUCCCGCUCAAGGGGUAGUGCAAUCAGAUUUUAGACUUGUUACGGGUAGCCACGAGGGAGAGGCUAAGCAAUCCUUUUACCAAAUGAUGAAUGAUUGGUUCACUCAGUAUAUGAGAACUAAUCUAGCUGCUCCACAACCUUCACCCCUGCCUAAUCCUUCACAAGUCCCUAUCAUGCCACAAGUUAAUUCGAUUCAGUUGAAUAAGCCUCUGGUUGAUAAAAUUAAAAAGUACGGGGCUAAAGAGUUUCGAGCUACUACUGAUUUGUUUGUAAAAGAGGGAAGUUCGAAAAUCGAUGCUAUUGAAACAACCAUUGUUGGUUCUUUUGUACAAGGAGAGCUUGCUUGGCACUAACGAAUUUGAUGACAAAUUGCCUUCUUCUAUUUUGUCUGUGUUGCAGGAAUUUCAAGACGUAUUCCCGGAAGAAAUCCCGAGCGGGUUACCACCUAUUCGUGGAAUUGAACACCAAAUCGAUCUUGUGCCGGGAGCCGCAAUUCCAAACCGACCUGCUUACCGGAGCAAUCCUGAAGAGACGAAAGAAUUACAAAAGCAAGUAAAUGAACUCCUUGAAAAGGGCUAUGUGCGUGAAAGCCUUAGUCCAUGCGCCGUGCCUGUUUUACUAGUUCCGAAGAAGGAUGGAACGUGGAGGAUGUGCGUGGACUGCCGUGCUAUAAACAAAAUAACUAUCAAGUAUCAUCAUCCUAUACCACGAUUGGAUGAUAUGCUUGACGAGCUAAGUGGCGCGAGUUUAUUUUCAAAAAUUGACCUUAAGAGCGGUUAUCACCAAAUACGGAUGCGUGAGGGAGAUGAGUGGAAGACUGCGUUCAAAACGAAGCAUGGGCUUUACGAAUGGCUCGUUAUGCCAUUUGGCUUAACGAACGCCCCAAGCACAUUCAUGAGGCUUAUGAAUCACGUUUUAAGACCUUUUAUUGGUAGAUUUUGCGUAGUAUACUUCGACGAUAUAUUGAUCUAUAGUAAAAAUUUGGAUGAACAUAUUUUACAUUUAAAAUCUAUUUUGGAAGUAUUGAGAAAAGAAACCUUGUAUGCUAAUUUUAAGAAAUGUGAUUUCUGCACUAACAAGGUUGUGUUUUUAGGUUUUGUUGUUAGCUCGGAGGGUCUUAAAGUCGAUCAAGAGAAGAUCAAGGCGAUCCAAGAAUGGCCCCGUCCGACGAAUGUCUCCCAAGUCCGAAGUUUCCAUGGACUAGCAAGUUUUUACCGUCGAUUCGUGCCAAAUUUCAGCACCUUAGCCGCACCUUUAACCGGGGUUAUUCGUAAGAAUUCCAACUUCAUUUGGGGAGAGGAACAAGAAAAAUCCUUUUUUAAAAUUAAAGAUUGUCUAACUCAUGCACCAUUAUUAGCUUUGCCUAACUUUGAUAAAACUUUCGAGUUAGAAUGUGAUGCAUCAGGUUUAGGCAUUGGAGCUGUGUUGAUGCAAGAUGGUCGUUGAUACGGGGAAUGCGCGCGGACCAAGAUCGAGUUGCCAAGUCACGGGAAACUCCUACGAAAACCCUAAACAAUCAGAUCCGAAACGAAACAGAAAAAUUAAAAGAUUAGAACUUUGAAUUUCCAGAUCUGAAAUAAAAUCCCCAAAUCAGCAAAGAAUCAAAUUGAGAAUAGAAAUAAGUGUUAGGGUUCUUGAAACCCUCAAGGAGAUUGUGAUUCUGCCCAAUUGAACACCAAGAUAGUUUUCCCCAAAUUUCGACAAUCUAAUUUCACCCAAAAAGAGUAUGGAAAAACCCUAGAAAUUGGGGAUUUUUGGGCUGAUUCCUUAAGAUAGAAAAAGGCUGAAAACACAAUAAGAACAGAAAAUAGAUUAGAUAAUGAUUCAGCACAAGUAGAAAUAAAGAAAGAAUUGACAGUAAGAAAUUAAAAGAUAAGUCCUAAGAAGCCUUGAAAUCUCGAAAGAUCUCACAACUCCCUUCAAACGGCUCUAAUCUCCCCUCCAAAGAAUAUCAAUGGCAAGAAGAAGGUUGAAGAUGGCUUCCACAAUCACAAGAUUGUUAAAACAACUUCUAAAGAAAACUCAAGAGAAAAUCCUUGAAGAACUCAAAGAGAAUUUUCACUCAAAUCAAAUCUAAAAUUUUCCAUGUAAUUGUAAUGUAAUGUAGGGUGGCUGGCCAAGCCAUAUAAAUAGGCCUUUCAAAUGUUUUCCUAAUUUAAUUAGAACACUAAAACUAAAACUAAAAAAAACUCCUAAUUAUUUUAAUAUGGAAAUUCGGCCAAAGGGUCUUUUAUUUGGGACUCUUGGACUGAAUAUAAAAAUUUAAACUAAGUAAAAUAAAUAAAUAAAGAAAUAAAAAUAAAACUUUACAACUUGGGCCACUUUGACAAUUUGGCCUGAUUUUCAACUAAGUAUGGAUGGAUUUCUUGAUUGGGCUGGGAAUUUGCUUAUUGGGCCUCGCCUUCAAGAAUUUGGGCUUUUGUGACUCGUAUCAUUCCCCCUUCCUCAAAAAUAUUCAUCCUCGAAUCUGAAAAAUCAAAUGAACUCGACUUUCCUCUAUCGAACGGGACUAAUGGCAAUUGAGUCCACUGAGAAGAAUAGCCAUGAGAUAGUAAAUAGCAACGGAAAUAAGCUUGUAGUCCAAUCAUAAGCAUAAUAGAACAGGUAUAACGCAUGUGAAUGGAUAGAUUCAGAUUACCAUGCAAACAAUCUAAUUUACUCACCACUGCCUCGUCAAAUAUUUGAAACAAAGAUGGACAUGUUUUAAGGCAUUCAAUCGUCUCACAUUGUUCCCACAAACCAUGAAUAAAUUGCGAGUAAUAAAUCAAAUGGUAAACAUAAUCGUCACAAGUAGGUAUUUGAAAAGAUUCACAUGGUUCACAGAGUUGCAUAAUCAUACCAUGCAUUAAUCGACGGUCUAUAGAUUCACUCACACAUGCAUUAUCAAAAACAAGAAUCUUUUUAUCAACCAUCAAAACAGAUAGAUCAUCAAUAAAUAAAAUAGGACAGUCAAGCACGUUUCGAUCUAAGUGUUCAUCAACACGAUCUUUAUCACUAUCUGGGGAGUACAAAAGUGUUUCAAAGGUUUCAAGCAUCUUACCUCGAUAAGCAGGAGAAUAAGGGUCAAUUUUACCUUUUUCAUUUAAAACAAACCUUCGCUCAUCGGGGGCAUAGUGUAGUCGAAUCUUCGUUGUUGAGUUAACGUUUGUCAAAUGGAACUCAAACUUCAUGUACAACCACAUAAACUGUUUAAGGCACGAAUAUAAAUUGAAAACAAAUUUGGAAAAUUUCGUUACCUUAUUCUCCAAAACAGAUUUGGACAAAUUCGAGGAUUUUACACAAGGUAAAUCAAGAGAAUAACAAAUCACGCUUCUUUUCGUAAUGACUGUAUCAACCACAAUCGAAGAGUAACAAUUAAUUAGAUCAAAAUGAGGGGAUCUUUUAAGAACUAAGUCACCAAAAGUUUGAUCAAUAAUUUUCAAAUCUGCACUGGACUCGGUUUCUAAAAUUUCCUUACCUCGCUUACCUUCGGGAUCAUGUAGUGUGAUUUCAUCUUUGCCUAAGUUGAUCGUAUGAAAGCGUCUUUCAUUUGAGAGGUAUUGAAGUUGAAAGUUAUCUUUCGAUCUUUCGGGAACCUGAAAAGUAGCAACACAAGAAAAAUUCAUAUCUUGGUUAGUGGAAACAUUCCUCACUACCCUUUCCACGUCUUUUUCUUUUGUUUCUUUUUCUAAUUCAUUUUCUCUUCUUUAUUCAAUUUCUUUUUCACUCUCAAUCUCUUUUUGCUCUUUUUCAUUCUCUUUUUCUUUUUCCUCACUUGUUUUAACAGAAUUUUUCAGUUAGAUUUGGUCCUCAUGGACUUGUUCCAGAGUGAGCGGCACUAAGGUGAGUUUCUUUCCUUGAUGCUUGAAAGAAUACCUAUUGGUACGACCAUCGUGAGUGACUUUUCGAUCCAGUUGCCACGGUUCUCCUAGCAACAAAUGGCAGGCUUGAAUAGGCAUUACGUCGCACACAACUUCGUCUUGAUACUUACCGAUAGAAAAGGCGAUGCGCACUUGUUGAGUGACCCUAAAUUGGCCUUCGUUGCUAAGCCCUUGUAGUUGAUAAGGUUGAGGAUGCUUGGUAGUGGUUAAGCAAAGCUUUUCCACCAUCGUCGUGCUGGCUAUGUUCGAGCAACUUUCACCAUCAAUAAUAACUCUACAAAGCUUACCUUGUACGUGGCAGCGAGUAUGAAAGAGAUGUUCUCGUUGCUGCUCGCUCUUUGGUUUUGCCAAAGAUGAUUGUCCAUGAUCAUGACAAUCAUCAUCCAUUCUAGGGACACGUUGAGGGUUGCACCUAUGGGGCUGGUUAUCCCUAUCUUCCUUAAUUGGAUCUCGAUAUUGAUGUUUUUGAUUCACUCGUACCUCAUUCAAAGUAGUAUUCAAUGCUUGAAGUGUAGCAUUUAUUUGUGUGAUUGCAGCAGUAUGUCAGUCUAACUGUUGUUGGACUUUCAUAAGUGCAUCAUUAUUACCACCUUUAGACAUCUUCAAAACCUGUAAAAAAUAAACACUCAACACUCAAAAAUAAAAGUUAGCAAACCUCACCAUUAAUCACUCAAAAAGAAAAAUCAAAUUCUCAAUGAGGUCGAAUUCAAUCUUGUGAGUUCUUUAUCAGAGUUUAUAUCAACCAAUUAGAGAGUGUGAACCAAACUACCAAAGAAUCCUAAUUUGCACUAGGAUGCCAAAAACUGACGAGACACCAAGUGAUUCGUGUUGCACCGAGGAAGGAGUUGUGCACACGUGUAAAUCCUACUAACACAAGAAACAAGAAGGUGUUAGAUAACGUAACGGAAGAAUAAAAGCAAACAAAUGAAAACCUACAGCUAAGAAUCAAUAAAAAUUGCUGAAAACAGAAAACCCGAAAAACUGUGGAGUAACUUGACAACUUCGUUCGAGGUGUUCCCGAUCUCCAAAAAUCACGAAAUUAAAUCUCGAAUGUCCUUAAAUAGUUAAUUUUUUAUCUGGAAAUUUCGGGCACCAAAUUCAACCCGCUGAAUCUUUUUUAAAAUUUUUAUUGAAUUUCGUCUUUUUUAUUUUUUUGACUUUUUUGACUGAUUUUUUUCCAGGAAUAAUUUUUUUAUAUUCAAUCACAGUGCCAAAAACAUGUAUGUAAAAUUUCAGAUCAAUAGGACAACGUUUACCCACUCAAAUGAAUUUUUUUUGAACAAUUUUUCUAGGUAAAACUGCUGUUUAUGCUUUAAAAAAUAGAGAUCAGUUUAGAAAUCAACCAAGAACACCCAAAACGCCCAAAAUCUGAUACCAAAUGAUAUAGGGUUGCGCACGGACCAAGAUCGAGUUGCCAAGUCACGAGAAACUCCUACAAAAACCCUAAACAAUUAGAUCCGAAACGAAACAUAAAAUUAAAAGAUUAGAUUUUUGAAUUUUCAGAUCUGAAAUAAAAUCCCCAAAUCAGCAAAGAAUCAAAUUGAGAAUAGAAAUAAGUGUUAGGGUUCUUGAAACCCUCAAGGAGAUUGUGAUUCUGCCCAAUUGAACACCAAGAUAGUUUUCCCCAAAUUUUGACAAUCUAAUUUCACCCAAAAAGAGUAUGGAAAAACCCUAGAAAUUGGGGAUUUUUGGGCUGAUUCCUUAAGAUAGAAAAAGGCUGAAAACACAAUAAGAACAGAAAAUAGAUUAGAUAAUGAUUCAGCACAAGUAGAAAUAAAGAAAGAAUUGACAGUAAGAAAUUAAAAGAUAAGUCCUAAGAAGCCUUGAAAUCUCGAAAGAUCUCACAACUCCCUUCAAACGGCUCUAAUCUCCCCUCCAAAGAAUAUCAAUGGCAAGAAGAAGGUUGAAGAUGGCUCCCACAAUCACAAGAUUGUUAAAACAACUUCUAAAGAAAACUCAAGAGAAAAUCCUUGAAGAACUCAAAGAGAAUUUUCACUCAAAUCAAAUCUGAAAUUUUCAAUGUAAUUGUAAUGUAAUGUAGGGUGGCUGGCCAAGCCAUAUAAAAAUUUAAUUAGAACACUAAAACUAAAACUAAAAGAAACUCCUAAUUAUUUUAAUAUGGAAAUUCGGCCAAGGGUCUUUUAUUUGGGACUCUUGGACUGAAUAUAAAAAUUUAAACUAAGUAAAAUAAAUAAAUAAAUAAAUAAAAAUAAAACUUUACAACUUGGGCCACUUUGACAAUUUGGCCUGAUUUUCAACUAAGUAUGGAUGGAUUUCUUGAUUGGGCUGGGAAUUUGCUUAUUGGGCCUCGCCUUCAAGAAUUUGGGCUUUUGUGACUCGUAUCAUUCGUCCUAUUGCCUAUUUUAGUGAGAAACUGAAUGGUGCUGUCUUAAACUAUCCAACAUAUGACAAGGAGCUCUAUUCGUUGAUCCGAGCCUUAGAAACGUGGCGACACUAUCUUUGGCCCAAGGAAUUCGUCAUACACACCGAUCAUGAGUCCUUGAAGUAUUUAAAGGGGCAACACAAGUUGAAUAAGCGACACGCUAAGUGGGUAGAAUUUCUCGAAUCUUUUCCCUACGUUAUUAAAUAUAAGAAAGGUAAGGAAAACGUAGUGGCUGAUGCACUAUCUCGAAGGUAUGCGUUGCUAAAUAUUUUGGAUGCUAAGUUAAUGGGGUUUGUAUUUCUUAAAGAUUUAUAUGUCAACGAUGCUGACUUUGGUGAAUUCUUUAGAUUAUGUGCCAAGGGAGCCUACGAGAAGUACUAUCGACAUGAUGGGUACUUAUUCCGAGAAGGAAAGCUUUGUAUACCCCAAGGUUCCGUACGAGAAGUGUUGAUCGAAGAAGCCCAUAGCGGAGGAUUAAUGGGGCACUUUGGUGUUGCUAAGACAUUAGCUACAUUGCACGAACAUUUCUUUUGGCCCAAGAUGCGACGAGAUGUCGAACGAUUUUGUAAUAGAUGCAUUGCGUGCAAACGGGCUAAGUCGCGGAUUAAGCCCCACGGUUUGUAUAAACCAUUACCUAUUCCCGAAACCCCUUGGUCUGAUAUCUCCAUGGAUUUCGUGCUAGGUUUACCUAGGAGUAAGAAUGGCCGAGAUUCAAUAUUUGUGGUUGUAGAUAGGUUCUCAAAAAUGGCCCAUUUUAUAGCAUGUCAUAAAACUGAUGAUGCCGUUAAUAUUGCUAACUUAUUUUUCAAAGAGGUGGUCAGGUUGCAUGGCAUGCCUAGAACGAUCGUGUCCGAUCGAGACGCAAAAUUCCUUAGCCAUUUUUGGAGGACACUAUGGGGGCGUCUUGGAACGAAGUUGCUGUUUUCAACCACUUGCCAUCCGCAAACGGACGGCCAAACCGAAGUGGUCAACCGAAUUCUGUCUACAUUGCUUCGAGCUAUUAUUCGGAAGAAUGUGAAGGCUUGGGAAGAAUGCUUACCACAUGUGGAGUUUGCGUAUAAUCGAGCUGUUCAUUCAGCUACCAAAUUUUCUCCUUUUGAAAUUGUCUAUGGUUUCAAUCCAUUAACUCCACUUGAUUUAUUGCCAUUGCCUUCUAAUCAACUUGUUCAUGUAGAUGGGAAGCGCAAAGCUGAUUUCGUCAAGCAAUUGCACCAACGAGUUCGAGACAAUAUUGAGGCCAAGACCAAGAACUAUGAGCAACAUGCUAACAAAGGUCGUAAGCGAGUUGUGUUCGAACCGGGAGAUUGGGUUUGGUUGCAUAUGCGCAAGGAGAGAUUUCCUAUGCAAAGGCGAUCCAAACUUCUUCCGAGAGGGGAUGGACCGUUUCAAGUCCUUGAGCGAAUUAACGAUAACUCCUAUAAAUUGGACUUGCCUGGUGAAUAUAAUGUUAGCGCGACUUUUAACGUUUCUGAUUUGUCUCCGUUUGAUGCAGAUUCUGAUUUGAGGGCAAAUCAUUCUGAAGAGGAGGGGAAUGAUGUGAGCUUGCCUACGAACCAAAUGGAGAACGAACAAGAAGCCAUUAAGCUGCCCAUUGGUCCAAUAACGCGAGCUAGAGCUAGACGAUUCAAAGAUGCUAUUUUAGCAAUGGUGGAAUGGGUUGAGGAAAAUGAUAGCAAGGAGUUUAAAAACGAGCUGAACAUAUUCAACUUCUUUGAAGCUGAAUUUCGUUCUAGCUAAUUAAUUUGCUGCUGGAAUUUUAGACCAUUUAAAUAAGCAUUUAAAUAAGUUUCAUUACAGCUUUUAAAUAUGUCUUAAUUUAUUACAAGUGUUUAAUAUGUUGAUUUGGUUGAAUUAAAGGUGUCUAGAUGUCAUUUAAUUUGUUUGAAUAUAUUACAUGAAUUAACUAUGUUCAGCCGAAUUAAUGUGUCUUGUUUAGUACAUAUUUAAUUCGGCUUAAUGUUAAUUAGUAUGUUCAUAUUAUGUUUUAAAUUAAUUCAGCUGAAUUGAGUUAAAUUAAUGAGGUUCAUUUGUUUUAUUUAGGUUCAGCCGAAUGUGGAAGAUGCAUGGGAAAGGUUGGCCGAAUGUGGUGUGCAAGAUGCAUGCAUGUUGGAUUCAAUGCACCUAAUGAUACAUGCAUGAACUACAUUAAAAAUGGUGUGCUGAUUAUUGAAGUUCUCUAAGUGACCAUUCGGCUAAAGAGAUAGUUUUUCAAGCUGCCAUUAUUUCCUUCACAUUGCUGGAUACAUUUUGGCCAUUCGGUUCUUGGUGUUCACAUUUUAAGGCUCUUCAAAACCGUCCAUUCACACCUAAUGUGGCUGUUCAAGUGCCCUCUUUAUUAUUGAUAAUUUUUCAGCAAGAGUUGCCUAUUGAAUGAUCAUUUAAGCUCAUCAGCUGAAUGUAGCUGCUACAUGCAUUCCCAAGAUUCAUUUGCUUAAUAUGGAAGCUUCAUGUAUGGUCACCAUUCAGCCGAACCUACUGAUACGACCCCGCCCCGGAAACAUUUUUGGUUCAGCUCAUUCGAGCUCAAUUCAGCUCAUUAAGCUCGUUAUUAGCUCACUAGCUCAUUUAAUUUAAUUUGCUGGAAUAAAUUAAUUAGUUAAGUUAGUUAUUUUAGCUUAAAUAAUUACUAAGUAUUUAAUUAAGAAAUCUGGACAUUUUAAAUAUGUUUUAUUGGUUUUAAUGCAUGCUUUAAAUUUGUCUUAAGACUAUUUAAAUGUGUUCUAUUUAGUACAGCUUUUAAUGUGUCUGGACGGAUUUAAUGCUGUUGUUUAAUGUGUCUUUAGUGCUUUAAAGGGCCGAAUUUAAUAUGUCUAAUUGUUGACUUAAUUCAGCCGAAUUAAUGAACCACUUUAAGGUGUCUUGUGGCUGCCGAAUUUAAUUGUAAUGUGCAUGAAUUAUUUGACCGAAUUUAUUUUGUGUCUGCAGGUCAUUGAAUUCGGCUAAAUGGCAAAGGAAACAUGCAUUUAAGGAGAUGUUCCCAUGCAUGGAACGGCAUUUAAAGGGAAGUUGGCUGCUGUAUUUUUCCUAAACAGCCGAAUUUAAUAUGCCUUAUUGACCCAAUUUUGUUUUGCCUUAAAACUUGAGUUAAUGGCUGAUUUAAAUGUGUGCAGGUGCAUGGAUAUGGGGACAAAUUUAAAGAACAAUUUAUUAUGUAGAAGCAUGCAUGAACGGCAUUAAAGGAAGCAUGCAUUGUGUUUCUAUACAUCCAUUUUCGUGCAUAGCAAAGGACUCAUUAAGGGCUGCUGAUUCCUAUUUCCUAUGAGCCUUUUCGUGAAGAUCAAUGGCUCUUGAAUUUUGGUGCAUGCUUGGACGACAUUAAAUUGGUUGCUGCAUUCUUCUCCCUAUGCAUGGGACGGCAUUAAAAUCCCUCUUCUCCAUGUGCUAUUUCGGUCCCUUCAAUAGAGCCAUUAAUGUGCCGUCUCAAUUAAGAGAAUGCAUGAGCAGCAAAUUAAAACCUGCAUUUAAGCUGCUGUUUGAGCUCACCUAGGAGCCUUUUUCGUGGGAAACAAAGGAGCCUUAAAAGCACCAUCCAAAUUGAAGGGAUGAAUGGGCAGAUUCUAGAAGUCAAAUUUAUUACCCAUGAUGAAUAAACAUUUGCUUCAUGACUAAGGAUGCAUCUAUGGAUGGCAAGGGGGGGACGAAUGUGACUUAAAUUUCAUUCAAUGGAUGAACAUAUAUCAUUAAAAUCGGUUCAUGGGCUGAUUCAUGUUACUUAUUAAUGGUCAGAAUUGGCUAUUCAUGUCCUAGUUUUAGUAUAAAUAGUUGGCUUGUAAACAUGUAAAAGGUUAGACAAUAUACUUUUAAACUUUAUAUGAAAUUUGUUUACUUUGUGAGUUUGUUUUCAACUCUCAUUGUUCUCCAAAGACUCGUCUGACUUAUCAAGUAACCCUUGUGGCGUCAACCCGUCUUUCUAUCCGAACUUAUCACUUUAAUCCCAAAAGUGUGGCGUUCGAUUCGUACUGAGGUUCCUAUCAUUUUUGAUAGCGGGUCGAAGUUUCUAUCCACUUAACAAACCUUCCAUCAACACCCUACCAACCUAAGCAUUCUCCUAAGUUACGGGUUAACACACUCCUAUUGUGUUAGUUCGGCUUUUGAAUACUUAGCUCAAACUUCAUCCAUUGAUUUAUGUUUCAUUUCCUAAACCAACAAAACUUUAUUGAGCCUAAAUAAUUCCUUUUCUUCUAGCCUAUUUUGUAAAGCUUUCAAAUUACUCCAAUUCACGAUCGGGCACAACAACGACUCGGAUUCAUCAACGAGGCCGGGGGCGUAUCAUUUGGUAUCAGAGCUAGCUAAAUCGGAGUAAGAUCGACGUUAUCGGUAUUACGGUAUUGUAAAAAAAUAUAAAAAAAAAUUUGAAAAAAAAAAUUUUUGAAAAAAAAAAAUUUCAAAAAAAAAGUUUGUAUUCAAUUUAUUUGUACUUUUUGUAUUUAGUAUUGAAGAAAAAAAAAAGAAAAAAAAAAUUCGAAAUUAAAAAAAAAAGAAGAAAAAAAAAAUCAAAAUUGAAAAAAAAAAAGAGUGAUUGAAAUUCAUUUUGGGUUUGUAAAAGCAUUGCUUGUUGCCCGAAGGACCAUAUCUAUAUAGCCACACUUAACCAUUUCUAUUUUGUUUGAUAGCCUACCACUUCCGACGUCAUUACCACCAAGCCAAAUUAAUUUUGUAAGCCGACGCCAAACGGUAUUAAUUUGUCGACUUAGUUUGCGAAGAACUUCGAGAAGCGAAAAUCGAGUGGAAAAAGGCAAGAGUGUUUGGUGAGACCAUUCGAGAGAAGUAAAAGCCAAAUUUGUGCGAAUUUUUCUUUGCGAGUGAAACGUGAGAUUUUUUGUGGUGAGAAUUAAAUCAUGUUUCAAGAAGAAUUUUCUGAAUCAGAUUUCCAAUAUUUAAUGCAAGAAAUGCGUAGAAUGGUGAAAUCAAAUUUUGAUAUAUUGCAUGAUAGAUUGGAUCGAAUAGAGACAAGAGCCCAACAAAAACAAAUUCCAUCGAGACAAGAGACGGAGUUAAGAUCAUUCCGACGACACUACUCGACAAGAGACUCUUAUCAAGACGUCUAUCCAACAAGGCGUUCGAGACCAAGAGAAGCAAACUACGAGUUUGAGUCCUUCCGAGAUGAUAUACAAAAAGGUAAUCAUGUCUCUACAAAUGCCUCAAUUUAUUCAACUACGAAGGAUUAUUUACGAAGAGGCGAACGUGUUUCAAGAAUGUCAAAGUACUCGAAUACGGAGGGUUAUUCACAAAGAGAUGAUCGUGACUUGCAUGAUGAAUCUGCCAUUUCUUUCAAACGAGAAGCUUGUCGUUAUGGUUCUUAUAAGUUAUCAUCUUCUUGUAAUGAAAGAACAAGACAAAAAGAAAAUAGAAGAAAAGAAAGACAAGAGAUGUUGAUGCAAGAAAAUGAACGAAUCUUGAAUGAAAUUGAGAGAAGAAAAAAAGAAAAUGAGAGUGAGAAAAAGAAAAAAGAAUUUGAGAUUGAGAUUGAUAUUGAUAUUGAUAUUGAGAAAAAAAUUGAAAAGGAAAAAGAUGUUGAAAAAGAAAUGAGAGAAAAGGAAGAUGGUGAGCGAGAACAAGAAAAAGAGAGGAAAAUUUUAACUAACCCCCGAGAUGUUUGUUUUUGUUCUGUUCCUUCUUUUCAGGUUUCGACAAAUCUCUAUGACGAAUAUCAACUUCAAUAUCUUCCUGACGAGCGACGUUUUUGCCUGACCGAAAAAGGUAAGGAUGAAGUUGAAAUUGAACCACAUGAGCCCGAAGGUAAGAUAGGUAAGGAACACCUAGCACUUGAAUUUCCAUUAUCUUCCUUGAAUGUGGAUAAACAUAAUGUCGACUUCAUCUUUGUAAAAGCUCCAUGCCAAAAAGUGGUUGAUUUUCCUUCAUUGAUUAGUGUUUUAAUCUCAAAUGGUGGUGAGACGAGUUUUCCCAAAACAAAUUUUUGUGUUGACAAGUUUGGUUUAAUGAACUCUUUGCUACUCUUUGGCGUUAAUAAUCAAAAUCAAAUUUUUAAACCCAGAAUCUGUUUUAGUACAUUUGUUGGGAAAUUCAAGCAUGACCAAUUGUGUGCGAACAAUUUCUAUUGUUUUGAUGCUUGGUUGUUCAAUAAGGAAACGAGGUAUGAUAAAUUUGAUUUCAAUUCAAUCCUUAGUCUAUUUCUGUGGUUAUACCUGAAGUACGUAUUUCAUUUCGACAAGGUUAAUUCCACCAAGGAGCUUCGAUUGCAUUACAAGUCCAAGGAGAGAAGAUUUGUGAUGAUCGAUGAAGGUAAAAAUGAUCCUUGUUUUUCCAUUCUUCAAGGUGAACAAGGUAUGACUCAUGAGAACUUUAAAAUCUUUCUGCCCUAUUCGGUUGGAAAUAAACAUCUUUUUGAAGAAUUGGUUUUUGCAAAGUAUUUCAAUCGUGAAGUGUUUAAUUGUUCAGCUUUAUUUGAAAGUGAUUUAUCUAUUUUGAUUGAUGCUGAUAAUGCGAAUUUGGAAGAACCCAUCGUUCAAUUUCCAUUGCCAAGUUUUAUUGUGCGAGAUUUCUAUUCAUUUGUUUGUGAUGAAAGGAUUAUGCUGAUGGUAUCUUCAUUUCGUUUGAAAUAUGUUGGUAAGACUAUUAUUGUUGAUAAAUUUGUUGGUGAAUCAAUAGGCAAACGUCCACUACAUGUUUCAAUCGAACAAAAGCAUGAAUCCAAUGGUUUUUUUUAUUUACCUGAUAAUGUAGAAAAUGUGUGGUCGUUGAAUUGUUGUGAAAGCUUACUAUGUUUGAACGAAGAAAUUUGGAAAAGAUUCAAGGCAAAUGAACGUUUUAACAUUCCUGAUUUUGUGAGCCUAUCCAUUCCAUGCUAUCGUAAAGGGUUGUAUAAGGACAAACUUUUUAUGAGGGACAAGAAGCUCGACUUGAGGGCAAGUCGCUUCGAAGAAGGGGGGGAUGAUACGACCCCGCCCCGGAAACAUUUUUGGUUCAGCUCAUUCGAGCUCAAUUCAGCUCAUUAAGCUCGUUAUUAGCUCACUAGCUCAUUUAAUUUAAUUUGCUGGAAUAAAUUAAUUAGUUAAGUUAGUUAUUUUAGCUUAAAUAAUUACUAAGUAUUUAAUUAAGAAAUCUGGACAUUUUAAAUAUGUUUUAUUGGUUUUAAUGCAUGCUUUAAAUUUGUCUUAAGACUAUUUAAAUGUGUUCUAUUUAGUACAGCUUUUAAUGUGUCUGGACGGAUUUAAUGCUGUUGUUUAAUGUGUCUUUAGUGCUUUAAAGUGCCGAAUUUAAUAUGUCUAACUGUUGACUUAAUUCAGCCGAAUUAAUGAACCACUUUAAGGUGUCUUGUGGCUGCCGAAUUUAAUUGUAAUGUGCAUGAAUUAUUUGACCGAAUUUAUUUUGUGUCUGCAGGUCAUUGAAUUCGGCUAAAUGGAAAAGGAAACAUGCAUUUAAGGAGAUGUUCCCAUGCAUGGAACGGCAUUUAAAGGGAAGUUGGCUGCUGUAUUUUUCCUAAACAGCCGAAUUUAAUAUGCCUUAUUGACCCAAUUUUGUUUUGCCUUAAAACUUGAGUUAAUGGCUGAUUUAAAUGUGUGCAGGUGCAUGGAUAUGGGGACGAAUUUAAAGAACAAUUUAUUAUGUAGAAGCAUGCAUGAACGGCAUUAAAGGAAGCAUGCAUUGUGUUUCUAUACAUCCAUUUUCGUGCAUAGCAAAGGACUCAUUAAGGGCUGCUGAUUCCUAUUUCCUAUGAGCCUUUUCGUGAAGAUCAAUGGCUCUUGAAUUUUGGUGCAUGCUUGGACGACAUUAAAUAGGUUGCUGCAUUCUUCUCCCUAUGCAUGGGACGGCAUUAAAAUCCCUCUUCUCCAUGUGCUAUUUCGGUCCCUUCAAUAGAGCCAUUAAUGUGCCGUCUCAAUUAAGAGAAUGCAUGAGCAGCAAAUUAAAACCUGCAUUUAAGCUGCUGUUUGAGCUCACCUAGGAGCCUUUUUUGUGGGAAACAAAGGAGCCUUAAAAGCACCAUCCAAAUUGAAGGGAUGAAUGGGCAGAUUCUAGAAGUCAAAUUUAUUACCCAUGAUGAACAAACAUUUGCUUCAUGACUAAGGAUGCAUCUAUGGAUGGCAAGGGGGGACGAAUGUGACUUAAAUUUCAUUCAAUGGAUGAACAUAUAUCAUUAAAAUCGGUUCAUGGGCUGAUUCAUGUUACUUAUUAAUGGUCAGAAUUGGCUAUUCAUGUCCUAGUUUUAGUAUAAAUAGUUGGCUUGUAAACAUGUAAAAGGUUAGACAAUAUACUUUUAAACUUUAUAUGAAAUUUGUUUACUUUGUGAGUUUGUUUUCAACUCUCAUUGUUCUCCAAAGACUCGUCUGACUUAUCAAGUAACCCUUGUGGCGUCAACCCGUCUUUCUAUCCGAACUUAUCACUUUAAUCCCAAAAGUGUGGCGUUCGAUUCGUACUGAGGUUCCUAUCAUUUUUUAUAGCGGGUCGAAGUUUCUAUCCACUUAACAAACCUUCCAUCAACACCCUACCAACCUAAGCAUUCUCCUAAGUUACGGGUUAACACACUCCUAUUGUGUUAGUUCGGCUUUUGAAUACUUAGCUCAAACUUCAUCCAUUGAUUUAUGUUUCAUUUCCUAAACCAACAAAACUUUAUUGAGCCUAAAUAAUUCCUUUUCUUCUAGCCUAUUUUGUAAAGCUUUCAAAUUACUCCAAUUCACGAUCGGGCACAACAACGACUCGGAUUCAUCAACGAGGCCGGGGGCGUAUCACCUACAUUGGCCAUUUUUGUUCAAUGUUUGCUUAGAAACUAAGUCUAGAAUAUGUCCAUUCGGCUACUAGGCAUUAGGCUAUAAAUAGUUACUCAUUUUCUUGUAAAAUGACUUUUGACAAAUUUCUGAAAGAAAUAUCAUUUUAGUGAGGCAAUUCACUCUCUUUAUUCUCCAAAGCUCUAAUUGACUUAUCUUCAACAAGUGGCGUCAAUCUGACUUUGUUUCGAACUUAUCACCAUUGGUGUGGCGUUCUUCAUACCGUAGGUUCCUAUUUUGCUAAAUAGAGGGUCUCGAUUUUAUCCCAAAUCAUUUCUUUCUUUGAAACCUUAAGCCCCGGGUCCUUAUUUGCUAAUAAGGGUUCGACUUGUUUUCAUUGAAAUAUCCAGCAAACAUCACUCCAUCAACUCCCUUGUUUCCCAAAGCCAUUUAAUUUUAAACAUCAAGACUUGAAUUUAUUUCAAGGCCGACACUACCUAAUUUCGAUCGGGAAAUAUUACGACUCGUUAUUUCAUACGAAACGAGCUCGUAUCAGGUGUAGGAAGAUGGUUGAACGCCACACCGAUUCGGUGAUAAGUUCAAUGGAGUUCGGAUUGACACCACUAGCAAGCUAGUUAAGUCGCUUCGAGACUCGAACGAAAGAAGAGAGGAGGUAACCUCACAAGAACAAAAGUUCUAUUAAGUUUAAUUGAUCAAAUUCUGUAACCUUUUUACAAAGAGAAAAGAACUAUUUAUAGAUUACAUUAGAUAGCCAAAUAGACUAAGUAAAUUCGGCUUUAAUUGAAUUAAACUAAUCUAGAAAUGUAUCUUUAAAGGCUAUGUCCAAAUUCAGCUGAAUGGUACUUCAAUGGGCAGCUUCAUGGCUAAGGAAAUGAACUUGAAGGCUUGGUGAAUGUAUGGGAGAGCAAUGGACAUGUCUAGGUUCGGCCAAGGUGUGAAUGGACACUCCAAGAGAUGCCUUUUGGCCGAAUAGGUACUUAGGAGAUCAAUGGACAGCAACCGAUGCAUGUAAGUGAACAUUCAUGCAUUCUUCCAUUCAUUGUAUUAAAUCAUUCAUGCAUCAUCCUUACGUUCAUUGAACCAGCCCAUUCAUGAAUCAUCUUUAAUUGUGUUCCCACAUCAUGCAUUGUAAGUAGACGUUCAUGCACCUAGCUUGAAUGAAUCUCCACAUUCGGCUGUACCUACAUGAAACAUGAACAAAUUAAUUAAAAUAGAUAUAUUAAUUAAAACAUUGAUACGACCAUGCCCCGGGCACACUUUUGGAUCAGCUCCCUAAGCAUUGUUUGCAAAUCCAUGCGAGCUGAAUUAGUUCAAUUUCAUUUCGUUAAGCUCUGUUUAGCUCGUUUCCAGCUCACUCAAGCUCAAGUCAACUCACUCAAGCUCAAUUCAGCUCAAUCUUAACCCAAUGAGCUUAUUUUUAGCUUUCUUUAGCUUGCAUUUAUUUUGCUGAAAUAAACCAUUUAAUUUGUCAUUAGUUAAAUUAGUUGUUUAUCUUAAGUUAGUUAAUUUGUUAAAAUCUGGACAAAUAAUUAAUUAAGUGUUUUAAUUAUAUCUAAAUUAAAUACUUAAUUAAUUAUGAUGUUUUAAAUAUGUCUAAAAUUGUUAAUAUGUAUGGCCAAAUUUAAUGUGCAAAUUAUUGAGUUCAUAUGCUGCUAAUUUAAUGUGUUUGAAAUGCAUUUAACUUGCUGAUUUAAUUUGCUGCAGGUUCAUGAAUGGAUUGGUGCAAUGUAUGGGAGUGUGCAUGCACAAUUGAGGUUCAAUGGAUGGCAUUUAAAGGAGCACAUGCAUUUGGGACGUUCAUGCAAGAGGGAGUUGCUGAAAGUUCAUGUAUUUGAAGAUUCAUGGAUCAUAUUUAUGGGGGAAAAUACAUGGGACGUUUCAUGCAUUUUCAAGAUGACCAUUCAAGUAUUUUAGGCACAUUAAUGCCUCAUUCAGCCAAGGGAGAUGUAGGAUCAUUAAAGAGCUGCACAUUCAUGGAAUUAUGGAGAUUCUUCAAGGCUAAGGAUGCAUGAAUGCAUCAAGUGAAGCAUCAUGAUGGUUCGGCCAAUUCAUGUACCAUCUUCAAGCAUGAACUGGAUUUUAAUGCUAUUUGUGUGAACAUGUUAAAUACCUGUGUGAACAGAAUUUAAGUUAGUGUGAACAACAUAGAUGCCGAAUAUCAAUAGGCAUGUUAGGCUUAUAAAUAGCUUACUUGUUUAUUGUAAAAGGUUACAGAAUUUGAUCAAUUAAACUUAAUAGAACUUUUGUUCUUGUGAGGUUACCUCCUCUCUUCUUUCGUUCGAGUCUCGAAGCGACUUAUCUAGCUUGCUAGUGGUGUCAAUCUGAACUCCAUUGAACUUAUCACCGAAUCGGUGUGGCGUUCAACCAUCUUCCUAUACCUUUGGUUCUUACCUCCAUAUAGGUAACAGGUCAAGGUCCGCUUCUAUCCUUCAUCAAAAUUCACCUUAAGCAAUAUAAGACUCGGGGCAAUACUUUUUAGUAUUGAAUCAUUCUUAAAGUUUGAGUUCUUUAUCCAUUUCCAUUUAUUUAUCAUCUUUGUAACUUAAUUCUUUGUUAAACCGAACCUAUCUUUCAUCAAACCAAAACCAUCUUUUGAACCCAUUUUCUCAACUUCCGCUAUAAAAAAUCAUCUAACUCCAUCUAUCUACAAAUUCGAACAAACUUCUCGUUGACGAUCGGGCAAUCAAGUGAAUCGACUCAAUCAACUGAGCCGGAUCACAUCAUUUGGUAUUAGAGCUACUAAAACGAGGAGUGCCGACAUUCGUAUCAAGCUCAGAGUAGGUUCGUAAUGUAAAAAAAAAGUCAAAAAAAAUAAAAAAAAUUUGAGUUGGAAUUUAAUUUUUUUUCUCUUCCUUGUAUUUUGUUUACUAUUGUAUUGGAUUUAAAAAAAAGAGAAGAAAUUCAGAAAAAAAAUUUCAAAAAAAAAGGAAAAAAAAAGAAGUGACCAAAAAAAAUUGAGUUAAAAAAAAGAAGAAAGAAAAAAAAAGUGAAAAGUCUUGCGAGUUUUUAUCAUUAUCACUUAUUACUCCGAUCAUCAAGUUUCCCUUCCUACCAUUAUUUACCCAUCCCAACGCCACACUUUAAACCAAUUUUCUUCUUUAUUCAACCUACCCUACACCCGACAUUAUCCCUUGUAACCAAUUUGAAACCGACCCUCAAGCAGCAAAUUAAGUCUACCGAGACAAAUCACAAAAUUGUGAGAAGAGGUUGAGUGGAAAAAGGCACGAGUGAAAUUACAUCAAAGAAAAAGCCAAAAUUUGAAUGUAAACACGAGUGCGAGUGAAAAUCAUUAUUUCCUUUUCGAGCGAAUUUGUGAGGUUUGUGGUAAGGUAUUUAUUUUCUUUAUUAUUUUUUUUCUAACAUCUUCUUGUCAUUACUUAAUCAUGUCUCGAGAAACAUUUCUCGAAUCAGAAUUCCAAUAUUUGAUGCAAGAGAUGCAUAGAAUGGUGAAAUCAAAUUUUGAUAAAUUGCAUGAUCGAUUGGAUCGAGUGGAGGAAAGAGCCCAAUGGAAGCCAAACUCACCGGGUGAAGAGACAGAGACAAGAUCAUCACGAAGGCACACAUCUAUUGAUUUUUUGGGAAGAGAUUCAUACCAUGAUUCCUAUUCAACGAGGAACUCAAGACGAAGCAAAGCAAGUUUUGAGUUUAAAGCUUUCCGAGGUGACGAACGAGAAAUCACAAGUAGUCCUUCGUAUGCACCGAGGUAUUCGUCCGCCAAGAAUCAAUCUCGAAGAGGUGAUCAUUUUUUGUAUGAAAGUCGUUCCAAUUAUACCCAACGAGAGUCAUUUCGUGCUGAUUCAUUUGUAACAUCUCCAUCCUAUAAUGAAAGAGUGAGGCAAAAAGAAAAGGAAAUAAGAAGAAAGGAAAGACAAGAAAUGUUGAUGAGAGAAAAUGAGCAUAUAUGGAAUGAAAUCGAGAGACGAAAAAAAGAAAUGAAAGAAAAGGAACAAGAAAUUGAAAAAGAGAGUGAGAUUGAAGAAAGAAACGAGAGUGUAAAAGAAACGAGUGUCAUGGAAAAAGAAAUUGAGAUUGAAAAAGGAUGUGAAAAAGAGAAAGAAAUCGAAAAAGAAAUUGAGAUUGAACAAAAGUGUGAGGAAAAAGAGAAAAUUGAAAAAGAAAGAAAAGACAAUGAGUUAGAAAAAAAAACGAGAGAAAAGGAGGCAAAAGAGUAAGAAAAAGUGAGGAAUCUGUUUACUAAACCACAUGAGAAUUUGUCUUGUUUUGUUUCCUCUUUUCAGGUCUCCGGAAGGCCAAGUGACGAUAAUUUUCAACUCCAAUACCUCUCGAAGGAGAGAAGGUUCAUUUUGGAUGAAAAAGGUAAUGUUCUCAACGAUCCUAGUUCGCCUAUGCCAAAAGGUAAGCAAGGUAUGAAUGUUGAAAAUUUUAAAGCACUUCUGCCUUACUCGAUUGUUGAUGGACACACUGUUGAUGAUUUGGUCUUUAGAAAGAAUCUGAACUUUGACGUGGCUAUUUGUCAUUCUUUGAUUGAUGAUGAUCCAUUUGUUUUGUCUAAUGAUAAGAAGAUUCUUGCUUUUGAAAAAUAUCAUUUUGAUGGUAUUGGUUGUUUAUCUUUAACUUGCAAUGGAAUUCAUGUUUUGGAUGCGCAAGAUGAAAGUCCAUAUAAAAUGUUCAUUCUCACUGAUCAUGUUGAAAAGGAAUGGAAAUGUAUUGAUGAAUACGCCAUUGGCAAGAUUUUUGAUGAAGAGCGAAUAAAUCAGCACCAACAAAAUCUGGAAUUGUGUGAUCAAAAGUUGACAUAUCAUCUGCUUGGUUGUGUUGAUCAUGUGGAUUAUUUAUUUUUUGGUGUGAAAUUUCCAUGUUUUUGUAAAUCUUUUCGAAUGAAAUUUAAAGGGUUUGCUUGUUUGAAUUUGAGUAUGUUAACACCCUCGUUGUUUAAUUUGUGUAAAUUGUUGGAGAUAAAAGGACUCUUUUUGCCAUUUGGAUCGAGUAGUCAAAAUCAUGUCUUUAAUCCUGGAGUUUGCUAUUAUGAAUCAUCCAUGAAAGAAAGCAAGCAUCGUAAAAUUUGUUUGAAUGAAUGUGUAAACAAUCUUUGUUUGUAUGAUACUUUGUCUUUAAGUUUGAAAAUGAGCCAUGUGAAUCUUGUUGGUUUGUUAAGUCAAAAUCAAAAUUUUGUUUUCGGAGGAUGUUCUCAACUGUGGACUAAAAGAUCCGAACAUGUUUUGAAUGAUAAUGAUUUUGAGUUGCUUAGUGCUCUUUCUAUGAAGUCGGUCAUGAAAUUGCCAAAUCAAAUUGAAAUGGCAAGAGAAAAUUUUGUCUUUGACCCCGGUGAACACCAUUCUAUAUCAUUGCCUAAGGUAAUCGAACCAUGGAAAGUUGACUUCCAAAACCAUAGCUAUCAAAUGCCUUGUGAUUUAUGUUUGUUUCCAUCGAAGAAAAAGGUAAGAACGAUUUCUAUUUUCGACCCCGGUAUUGGAUUAUUUGUUCAAACUGUGAAUCAAAUCUCAAAAAGUUCCUUUGUGUUUAAUCUUCAUCGUGUCACUAAUUCAUUUUAUUCUUUUAAAGGUGACAAUGUGAAGUGGUACCCUCCUAAAGAGGGAGGGCAUGCGAAUGAGCUUCUUUUGAUCCGAGUUAAUUGUGGCUUUCAGAAUCUUCAACGAUUUUUCGCGAGUAAAUGGCCCGAUUUGGGGACAAAUCGCUUUAAAGAGGGAGGGGAUGAUACGACCAUGCCCCGGGCACACUUUUGGAUCAGCUCCCUAAGCAUUGUUUGCAAAUCCAUGCGAGCUGAAUUAGUUCAAUUUCAUUUCGUUAAGCUCCGUUUAGCUCGUUUCCAGCUCACUCGAGCUCAAGUCAACUCACUCAAGCUCAAUUCAGCUCAAUCUUAACCCAAUGAGCUUAUUUUUAGCUUUCUUUAGCUUGCAUUUAUUUUGCUAAAAUAAACCAUUUAAUUUGUCAUUAGUUAAAUUAGUUGUUUAUCUUAAGUUAGUUAAUUUGUUAAAAUCUGGACAAAUAAUUAAUUAAGUGUUUUAAUUAUAUCUAAAUUAAAUACUUAAUUAAUUAUGAUGUUUUAAAUAUGUCUAAAAUUGUUAAUAUGUAUGGCCAAAUUUAAUGUGCAAAUUAUUGAGUUCAUAUGCUGCUAAUUUAAUGUGUUUGAAAUGCAUUUAACUUGCUGAUUUAAUUUGCUGCAGGUUCAUGAACGGAUUGGUGCAAUGUAUGGGAGUGUGCAUGCACAAUUGAGGUUCAAUGGAUGGCAUUUAAAGGAGCACAUGCAUUUGGGAUGUUCAUGCAAGAGGGAGUUGCUGAAGGUUCAUGUAUUUGAAGAUUCAUAGAUCAUAUUUAUGGGGGAAAAUACAUGGGACGUUUCAUGCAUGAUUCAUGCAUUUUCAAGAUGACCAUUCAAGUAUUUUAGGCACAUUAAUGCCUCAUUCAGCCAAGGGAGAUGUAGGAUCAUUAAAGAGCUGCACAUUCAUGGAAUUAUGGAGAUUCUUCAAGGCUAAGGAUGCAUGAAUGCAUCAAGUGAAGCAUCAUGAUGGUUCGGCCAAUUCAUGUUAAAUACCUGUGUGAACAGAAUUUAAGUUAGUGUGAACAACAUAGAUGCCGAAUAUCAAUAGGCAUUUUAGGCUUAUAAAUAGCUUAUUUGUUUAUUGUAAAAGGUUACAGAAUUUGAUCAAUUAAACUUAAUAGAACUUUUGUUCUUGUGAGGUUACCUCCUCUCUUCUUUCGUUCGAGUCUCGAAGCGACUUAUCUAGCUUGCUAGUGGUGUCAAUCCGAACUCCAUUGAACUUAUCACCGAAUCGGUGUGGCGUUCAACCAUCUUCCUAUACCUUUGGUUCUUACCUCCAUAUAGGUAACGGGUCAAGGUCCGCUUCUAUCCUUCAUCAAAAUUCACCUUAAGCAAUAUAAGACUCGGGGCAAUACUUUUUAGUAUUGAAUCAUUCUUAAAGUUUGAGUUCUUUAUCCAUUUCCAUUUACUUAUCAUCUUUGUAACUUAAUUCUUUGUUAAACCGAACCUAUCUUUCAUCAAACCAAAACCAUCUUUUGAACCCAUUUUCUCAACUUCUGCUAUAAAAAAUCAUCUAACUCCAUCUAUCUACAAAUUCGAACAAACUUCUCGUCGACGAUCGGGCAAUCAAGUGAAUCGACUCAAACAACCGAGCCGGAUCACAUCACACAUAAAUUUAAAAUAGACAAAAAUAAAGUCUUAAGCUAAACAUAUUAAAUUCAGCUAAGACAACUUUAAAAACAUGAAAUAAAUCAAAACAUAAUUAUGAGCUGUAAUAACUUAAACAAAGUUAAUAAAAUACUUUAAUUAUUCAACCAAUAAAAUAAAUGAGCUGAAUUGUAGCUAAAUUGAGCUCGAUUGUAACACCCCUAUCCCGUAACCGUCGCCGGAAUAGGUAAGGUGUAACACCCCGUACCCGAGACCGUUGCCGGAGUCGGACACAAGGGGUUCACAGACUAAAUUCGCUUAUUAUCGCAGUCCAUUUUAAAAUUUUCCAGGCAGUUGACUAACUGCGACACUGUCACCUUAAAAAUCAUAUCUUGAGUUUCACAACUCGAAAAUCAGUUUCGUAAUUUUUCCCUGAAACUAGACUCAUAUUUCCAUCUACAUAUUUUUUUCUAGAAUUUUUGGACGGGCCAAUUAGUACAGUUUAUUAGUCAAAGUCUCCCAUGUUACAGGGAUCGACUACACUGACCUUUGCGCAUUACGACUUGGAUAUCUCCCUGCACAGAGCUUCAAUACUGAUGCCGUUUGUUUCUAUAGAAACUAGACUCAGAUAGGAAUCUAUACAUAUAUGGAAUGACUCCUAAUUAUCUCUGGUUAAUUUAUAAUGAAUUUCCAAAAUCGGAACAUGGAAUCCAGAAACCGUUCUGGCCCUGUCUCACGAGAACCUGAAUAUCUCUUAACAUACUGUCCAUAUGAUUGUUUCGUUACUUUCCUAUGAAAAUAGAUUCAUCAAGGUUCGUUUACAUAAUUUAUUCAUUAUUUAAUUCCAAUCCUACUAUUUUUAGUGAUUUUCCAAAUCUACAUCACUGCUGCUGCCAGCAUCUGCCUUUAAGGUAGACUUUACCUAUUUCAUAGUUUCCAUGAUUCAACUAGCCCUUUUAGCAUAAAUAGCACAAAUUAUGAUAGUGAUUAACCAUUCCAUACCAAAUGAUUAUAACAUUAUGCUCAAACAUAUAUAAGCCAUUUUCGCAUGGCUAUAUACAUUAACCAAAAUAUUCUUCCGCCACUAGUCUAUUUUAUACAUGCCAUAAGAUAAUCCAAAACAUAGAAGUACCAAACAGUGGAUAGUGAUAGUGUGACUAGUUGCUGACGAUCCCCGAGCCUGUAGCUUCGCAAUGAGAUCUAUAAAAUAGAGGAAACAGAGUAAACGGAGUAAGCAUUACAAUGCUUAGUAAGUUUUAAGCAGUGUCAACAGAUAACAAUCAAAUUAUAACAUAGUUGUUCGUAUUUUUAUUUCACUCUUCCUUCGGGCAUACCAUCCCUUUACCGAAUAUACACAUCUCAUCAUAUACAAUAGGCAGAUAAACUUUCACAUAAAAGUGAGCUCAUGUAACAUAGAUAUAUCGUAUGAUUUCACAUCGCCUCUCACACUGAUCCGAUGUCACAUAAUCAUAGGAAUAGUCUCAUAGAUUGCUCUCGUAUGCAUCACAUAACUACCUUAUGAUUUAGUGCAAAUCAAGCUCACAUAUAAACUUGGAGUACAUACCUGUUUAACCUUUCGCAUUGAAUAUAUUUAUAAGCAAUUCUUAUUACGAAGUCUUACCCGGACAUAAUCUCCACACGAAAUUAUCGGGUCUUACCCGGACAAAAUUCCCACACGUAGUCAUCGGGUCUUUAGAGCUUGGAUAUAGUACGAGCACAAAGCUUACGGACAUUAAUCAGUGAUAAUAUUCUCGCAUAAAGCCUGCGGGGUUUUAACCCGGAUAUAGUACUGACACAAAUGCCCUUCGGGACUUAUCACAUUUAUGCACUUUCACAUCCAUCACGUUGGCCACUCGGCCCUGUCACAUAUAUGCACUUUCACAUUCAUCACAUCGGCCAUUAGGCCUUAUCACAUAUAUACACUUUCACAUUCAUCACAUCGGCCAUAAGGCCUUAUUACAUAUAUACACUUUCACAUUCAUCACAUCGGCCAUUAGGCCUUAUCACAUAUAUACACUUUCACAUUCAUCACAUCGGCUAUUAGGCCUUAUCACAUAUAUACACUCUCACAUUCAUCACAUCGGCUAUUAGGCCUUAUCACACAUAUACACUUUCACAUUCAUCACAUCGGCCAUUAGGCCUUAUCACAUAUAUACACUUUCACAUUCAUCACAUCGGCCAUUAGGCCUUAUCACAUAUAUACACUUUCACAUUCAUCACAUCGGCUAUUAGGCCUUAUCACACAUAUACACUUUCACAUUCAUCACAUCGGCUAUUAGGCCUUAUCACACAUAUACACUUUCACAUUCAUCACAUCGGCCAUUAGGCCUUAUCACAUAUAUACACUGUCUUGGCUGAAUCUACAUCUAUCAUUUUCCAAUAUCACAAUUUAGAAUUCACGUAUGGGUUUAAUCAAUAGCUUAUGAGCAACUAGAACAAGUUUAUCAAGGUUUACAACACAAUCUCAAAUUCAGCACAAGCUGUUUUUCCUGAACAAUAGUCACUAAAUCAUUUAUAACUGGAGCUACAAAACUCCAAAUCACUUUCCGUUAAUUUUUCCUGAAUAUAGACUCGUAUAUCUUCCAUAAAAUUUCCAGAAUUUUAGGUUUGGCCAAUCAAUACCAGAUUUUUCUUAAAGUUUCCCCUGUUUCACUGUUUGACUAAUCUGACCACUCUUCACUACGAAUCAGAUUUCUCAUUUUACAGAAUUCGAAAUGUGUUGUACUUGAUUUCAUUUGAAACUAGACUCAUUAAGGAGUCUAAGCAUAUAAAUUUUAUCUUAUAACCAUUUUUGUACAAUUUAUAAUGAUUUUCUAAAAACGGAACAGAGGAUUACAGUGUCAUUCUGCACUGUCUCACACAACUUUAAAUAUCUCAUUAUCGGAAAUAAAUUUUCUUACACGGUUUCUUUUAUAAGAAACUAGACUCAUUAAGCUUUAAUUUCAUAAUUUAUUCAGCCUCCCAUUCAACUCUAACAAUUUAUGGUGAUUUUCUAAAUUCAUGUUACUGCUGCUGUCCUGAGCAGGUUUAUCACAAUUUUACUCUUCUGACAUAUCCUUUUAGCACUUCAUAAUAUCAUAUCCAUUUGGCAACAUAUCAUAUCAAUAACUUACCUAUACUUCAUAAUAGCCAUUAGGCUAUAUGCAUAAAAAUUUACAAUAGAGUUAUGAUUCUUUUAAUAUGUGCUUAACAUAUCAUACUCAAUCACAUUAUAGGCUUUAAUACUUAAAACUUACCUCGAUCGCUAAUGUACGUCAAUUCCGACUAUUCGACCAAUUUCCCUUUUUCCACGAUCCGACUUUGUUUCCUUGAGUUCUUGAGCUAAUGAACCAAAUUUAAACUUAUCACAUCACUAUUGUGUAAAACCACAUUCGAUUAUAUUAUACUUCGGUUAGCAAGAAAUACACUUAUUCCUUAUAACAUUUAGCUUCGAGAUCACCACCUCAAUCAUCUCAACCACAACAUUCAUUUUCUUACUUCUCAUCAUGGCCGAAUACUAACCAUGCCUUAAGCUCUUUCUCUUUCCAUUUUUUAGUACUUUAUAACUCAUCUAACAACUAUUUCAAAGCUAAAACUCCAACAUCCAAAAUUUAACACAUAAAAUCCUCAAUUAUUACAUGGUUCUAUUAAUUGUAAGCUCUAUUUCAAUAUUUAAGCAUGAAUUACAAAUUUUGGACAUCAUUUCAUAAUUCCAAGCAAGUUGCCGAAUGCAACCUUACUAAAUUUUCAUGGAUUCAAAUCAUGGAUUCAAUAUACCAUUACCAUGAAAUCAACAACCAAAAAUUCAUAGACAAUUUAGGAAAAUCACAUUACAAAUCUCAAAUUUAAGCAAAGACCAUGGCCGAAAUGCACAUAUAACCACAUAACACAAAAAAAAAUAUUGAACCUUUGGUUGCCUAACUAGCUUAACAUCCAUCAAAUUUUAAUCAAGAAACUCACCUCAUCUAUAAUCAACCCUCAAUACCCUAAAGCAUCAAAAACGACAUCAAAGAAAUACAAACAUCCAUGACCGAAUGUCAUCUUCAUAACUUUACAAAAAACAUUUGCCAUGAGCUAGCUUCUAUACUUGAUGGCCACUCCAAAUAUACAAAGAUUUUCAAUGAUAGAGCAUUAACAUACCUUAAUCCACUUAAAGGUGACCAAAUGCCUUAACUUCAAUUUCUUCUUUUCUUUCUUUAGGUACGGCAAUGGAGGAAGAAAAAGAUGAACCAACUUUGUUUUUAUCACCCAUUUCUUUUAAUAUAAGUUCACCUUUCAUAUUAUUUAUUCAUUUAACAUUUAAUUUAUUAAUAUAAAAGGCAUAUAUUUUGUAUCCCAUACUCCUUAUUUUAUUUUUCCUAACAUAAAUCACUAACAUAACAUGUUUAUGACAUGUUUUGCCCAUAACAUUUUGUCCUCCUUCCUUGUCAUGGCCGGCCACUACAAAAUUAAGGGGGAAAUUGACAUGCAAGUCCACCCUUUUAUUACAUGCACUAAUAGAUCCUAUAGAUUAACCUAUCACAUUUCAAAAGUGUCACACAUAAGUCCUAUUAGCUGAAUUCACAUGCAGUCGACUAAAUCGAAGCUUAAAACUUUCACACAUUCAUAUUCACAUAUUUUAGACAAUAAAUAUCAUAUUCAAAUAAUUUGGUGACUCGGUUUAGCGGUCCCGAAACUGCUUUUCGACUAGGGUCACUUUAGGGGUGUCACAACUCUCCCCCCUUUAGGGAUUUUCGUCCCCGAAAAUUUCUACCGAUGCAUAGUUUAGGAUAACGUCCUCUUAUUGAAUUAUAUUCAUAUAAAUAUUAGCUCAUCGAUGGCAAUUGUAAUUCAUUAUUGAUUUCGCAUCGAUCUAUAAAAUCAUUUUCUUAUCUUAAAACAAAUACAUAAACAGUUCUACAAGUAUGCACAUAUAUCUCAUUUUCUUGAUUUCAUAAGUAAUAAUCACUUAAUUUAAUUCACAAUUGCAUCUCAAACACAUAUUAAGCACAUAUUAAUAUGUAUAAUUCACAUCAUCAACCCACAUAUUUGUAACCCAUGUUUUCAUUCAUAAAUAAGCUGUAACCUAACCGAAAGUACACAUAUACUCAAACAUCCCAAUAAAUAUCCUUUAUAACUUUAUCACAUCUCAAUAUUCAACUUAACUCAUUUCCAAAAGAAAAGUCAACUUCCACGUACCUGAACAUUUAGUUCAUUUAGCACAUUCAAUCGUAGUUAACGUUACCCGUAUACAGUUGAAUAGGCAUAAAGCCUAAUAUAAUACUCUGGCAUGAGAUUUAUUCUAGCGCAUAACUCGUAUAUCCAAAAUUAUCAACAUUCAUCAAAAAUUCUUUCAAACUUUCGAAUGUCGAAACUUAAUCAAAAUAAUUUCUUGAACAAGAUUAACAAAAUAGUGUCCAUUCAGCAAUAGCACAUAUAGCUCUUACAAUGCCAUAUCCUAGAUAUGGUCUUACAUAUUCUUACAUAUCGCGCCGAUGCCAUGUCCCAGACAUGGUCUUACACACUAUCUCAAAUCAAUGCCUUUGUCCCAAACGAGGUCUUACAUGAAUUCCACUUCACACACUUAGUGCCCACUGACCGAUCUCGCACUCAUAGUGCUCGGAUAAAGGAAUUCGCACACACACAGUGCCUCUAAUUAUUCACAUACAUAGUGCUCUUAUUCAUUCGUUAAUACACAUUGAUAUGACUUAACCAAGUCUAUAAUCAUCAUGUAUGUACACUUUUAAACAUAUCAUCUCAUUUAAAUUUGAAUUCGUAUAGUAAUGAAUACUUAAACUUUGCUCAAAUUACCGGCACGAAGCCUACUAGGCACGAAGGCCCGAAUACACGUGAUACGAGUCACAAAAGCCCAAAUUCUUGAAGGCGAGGCCCAAUAAGCAAAUUCCCAGCCCAAUCAAGAAAUCCAUCCAUACUUAGUUGAAAAUCAGGCCAAAUUGUCAAAGUGGCCCAAGUUGUAAAGUUUUAUUUUUAUUUUUAUUUAUUUAUUUAUUUAUUUACUUAGUUUAAAUUUUUAUGUCAAUAUUCAGUCCAAGAGUCCCAGAUAAAAUGACCUUUGACCGAAUUUCCAUAUUAAAAUAAUUAGGAGUUUUUUUAUUUUAGUUUUCUAAUUAGAUUAAGACUAGUUAUAAGGCCUAUUUAAAGGCAUGGCUGUCCACCUUGUUAAACACUUAUCAUUAUUAUUAAAAUUUCAGAUUUGUUGAGAGCAAAAUUUUCUUUGAGUUUUCUCCAAGAUUUCUCUCUUGAGUUUUCUUUAGAAGUUGUUUUAACAAUCUUGUGAUUGUGGGAGCCAUCUUCAACCUUCUUCUUGCCAUUGAUAUUCUUUGGAGGGGAGAUUAGAGCCGUUUGAAGGGAGUUGUGAGAUCUUUCGAGAUUUCAAAGCUUCUUAGGACUUAUCUUUUAAUUUCUUACUGUCAAUUCUUUCUUUAUUUCUACUUGUGCUGAAUCAUUAUCUAAUCUAUUUUCUGUUCUUAUUGUGUUUUCAGCCUUUUUCUAUCUUAAGGAAUCAGCCCAAAAAUCCCCAAUUUCUAGGGUUUUUCCAUACUCUUUUUGGGUGAAAUUAGAUUGUCGAAAUUUGGGGAAAACUAUCUUGGUGUUCAAUUGGGCAGAAUCACAAUCUCCUUGAGGGUUUCAAGAACCCUAACACUUAUUUCUAUUUUCAAUUUGAUUCUUUGCUGAUUUGGGGAUUUUAUUUCAGAUCUGAAAAUUUAAAAAUCUAAUCUUUUAAUUUUCUGUUUCGUUUCAGAUCUAAUUGUUUAGGGUUUUCGUAGGAGUUUCUCGUGACUUGGCAACUCGAUCUUGGUCCGCACGCAAUCCUAUAUCAUUUGGUAUCAGAUUUUGGGCGUUUUGGGUGUUCUUGGUUGAUUUCUAAACUGAUCUUUAUUUUUUAAAGCAUAAACAGCAGUUUUACCCAGAAAAAUUGUUCAAAAAAAUUCAUUUGAGUGGGUAAACGUUGUCCUAUUGAUCUGAAAUUUUACAUACAUGUUUUUGGCACUGUGAUUGAAUAUAAAAAAAUUAUUCCCACAAAAAAAUAAGUCAAAAAAGUCAAAAAAAUCAAAAAAUACGAAAUUCAAUAAAAAUUUAAAAAAAGAUUCAGCGGGUUGAAUUUGGUGCCCAAAAUUUCCAGAUCGAAAAUUCAAUAUAUAAGGACACUCCAGAUUUAAUUUCGUGAUUUUUGGAGAUCGGGAACACCUCGAACGAAGUUGUCAAGUUACUCCGCAGUUUUUCGGGUUUUCUGUUUUCAGCAAUUUUUAUUGAUUCUUAGCUGUAGGUUUUCAUUUGUUUGCUUUUUAUUCUCCUUUUACAAUAUCUAACACCUUCUUGUUUCUUGUGUUAGUAGGAUUUAAACGUGUGGACAAUCCUUCCUCGGUGCAACACGAAUCACUUGGUGUCUCGUCAGUUUUUGGCAUCCUAGUGCAAAUUAGGAUUCUUUGGUAGUUUGGUUCACACUCUCUAAUUGGUUGAUAUAAACUCUGAUAAAGAACUCACAAGAUUGAAUUCGACCUCAUUGAGAAUUUGAUUUUUCUUUUUGAGUGAUUAAUGGUGAGGUUUGCUAACUUUUAUUUUUGAGAGUUGAGUGUUUAUUUUUUACAGUUUUGAAGAUGUCUAAAGGUGAUAAUAAUGAUACACUUAUGAAAGUCCAACAACAGUUAGACGGACAUACUGCUGCAAUCACACAAAUAAAUGCUACACUUCAAGCAUUGAAUACUACUUUGAAUGAGGUACGAGUGAAUCAAAAACAUCAAUAUCGAGAUCCAAUUAAGGAAGAUAGGGAUAACCAGCCCCAUAGGUGCAGCCCUCAACGUGUCCCUAGAAUGUAUGAUGAUUUUCAUGAUCGUGGACAAUCAUCUUUGGCAAAACCAAAGAGCGAGCAGCAACGAGAACAUCUCUUUCAUACUCGCUGCCAUGUACAAGGUAAGCUUUGUAGAGUUAUUAUUGAUGGUGAAAGUUGCUCAAACAUAGCCAGCACGACGAUGGUGGAAAAGCUUUGCUUAACCACUACCAAGCAUCCACAACCUUAUCAACUACAAGGGCUUAGCAACGAAGGCCAAUUUACGGUCACUCAACAAGUGCGCAUCGCCUUUUCUAUCGGUAAGUAUCAAGACGAAGUUGUGUGCGAUGUAAUGCCUAUUCAAGCCUGCCAUUUGUUGCUAGGAGAACCAUGGCAACUGGAUCGAAAAGUCACUCACGAUGGUCGUACCAAU